UUAAUUUUUUUGUUGUUGCAGUGACAUUCAUUACUAGAACAUAUAGAUAGCCCAUAAAAAUUAGUGCUCCACACAAAAACUCAUAAUUUUUCAAACUUAUAUUAAAAUUAUACAUCUCAUCGAGCUAAAAAAUUCCUAGUUAAUGAUUUAUUUUAUUUGAGGUCGCUUAGGGGCCAAAUAUACUCUUAUAUUUUCAACUUCAAUUUUUUGAAUUUUUAUACAACUUCAGAUGGAGAUAUGACCUAUAGAAAAGUUGUAGUGCUCCACAAAAUAUAAAACUUUUUAGUCCAAAAGGUUUCCAUUUGAGUUUGUCUGUUAGGGGCCAAAUAUUCAACAAAAGAUUGUGAAAAUUAAACAAAAGAAUAUUUGUAUCAUACUGUACUUGAUCGCGAGUGACUGUCUGGCGUGCUGGUAAGGAGGGUCAUGCAGGCACGGAGGUAGCAUAUUCGUAUCAUAUAUAAAGGGAACUGCUAUAUCGCCUAUAUGUCAUGUGUCUGACAAUGAUUCAUUUUUUUUUAGUCAAUGGAUCUAAAUCACAUCGCUUUGGAGCUUCUUCUUCUUCCUUCGGUUGUCAUGUGUCUUUGAUUUCUGUGUUUUCAGGCGCCUACACUCUAGGAAGCGUGCAUAUAAAAUGCAUGCACGUUAAAAAGCACGUGACUUGUACAGAGGCGGCGUUGGUCAGUGUUUUAGACUGUCUCUACAAAUCGAUCUAUAUAGACGAGUGUAUCUAAAAAAGCGUUUAAGCAAAUGGGAAAACUGUCUCCACAACUUAAAAAGUUUUGUGUAGCAUUGAACCUAAUUUCCGACGGUCAAAUAUAUGUUUAUACAUCAGGUGUUCCAUGCUUCUACUUACUUAUAUUGCGUUGUACCCUGAUGACAAUAUAAGUUCGUUUUUGCAGCACUAGCGCACAAAUGGAUUAGUUGCCCUUCCACCACCUUCUCUAGUUAGGGUGUGUUCAGUUCCCCAUAGAACACAAAACGCAAAAUGCCAACUAAUUUAGAAUAAUGAAAUAUAAAAUGUCAAAAAUUUCAGGGUUAUGUUUAGUUUUAUCCAAAAUAUAGAAUUUAUUGUCCCCAUUAGGGUCUCUUGAGGCUUUUUUGGGCUUUUUUUUUGUCUAUUGAGACAAAAAUCCAAAAUGGAGAAUAACCAUUUUUUUUGUUAAAAAUUUCGCAUGGUGUUUAGUUCUAUUAUGAAUGGACCAAAACAUAAAAUUUUUUUAAGAUAAAAUAGGAACUAAACAGCUCCUAGUUGAUUAUAAGCAAGUUCCUCAAUCCCAAACUCUGUAACAACCUACACUAUCGGCUUUUUUCGACAUGAAAAUCACGGUGCAGUCAUCCAAGUCCGUCAAGCCCGACUACGGCAGCUGCGGUGGCAGACGCAGCAGCGCCGCUUCCUUCGCCACCGCCGACUUCGUCCCACUCACCGUGUUUGACAAGGUAACCGUCGACGUCUACGUCUCCCGCAUAUACUUCUUCCGCCCACCGGCGCCGCCCAGCUCCGCCAUGGAGGCAGGGCUGGCCAAGGCGCUCGCCGAGUACCGUGAGUGGGCCGGCCGGCUCGCCAUGGACGCCACCACCAGCGGCAACAACCGGGGCAUACUCCUCAACGACGCGGGCGCGCGGUUCGUCGAGGCGGCGGCCGACGUCGCACUGGACAGCGUCAUGCCGUGGGAGCCAACGCCAGAGACCACGAGCCUGCACCCAACCGGCGACGACGACGACGAUGGCGCUGACGAGCUGAUGCUCCUCCAGGUCACGCGGUUCGCGUGCGGCUCGUUCGCCGUCGGCACCACCGCGCAUCACCUGGUCGGCGACGGCCCUGCUGUGCGCAGCUUCGUCGUCGCUUGGGGCCAGGCCACGCGUGGCGCCGCCGUCGACCCUGUCCCGGUGCACGACCGUGUGUCCUUCUUCGUGCCCCGCGACCCGCCUCGGGUCCAGUUCGCGCACCGCGGCGCCGAGUUCAAGCCUCGCGGCGAGACGCCGACGGGUACACGUACAAGCGACAGCAGCCCCGCCGCCGGUGGUCAGGUUGUGGUGGUGCACAGAGCGCACUUCAGCCGCGAGAUGAUCUUGGAGCUCAGAUCACGGGCAUCAUCGUCAGCCGCCGGAGUCAGAUUCCGGCCAUACCCAUACACGACGCUGCAGUGCGUGGUGGCGCACCUGUGGCAGUGCAUCACCAAGGCACGCCGGAUCAGCACAGACAGCACGGCCACCGAGUUGCACAUCGCCGUGAACGGGCGCGCGCGCAUGCGCCGUCCGCCGGUGCCGGACGGGUACACCGGAAACGCCGUGCUGUGGGCGCGGCCGACCGCCACGGCGGGGGAUCUGGUGGCCAUGCCGCUGCGUCACGUCGUGGAGCUCAUACGCCAGGGGGUUUCCCGGAUCGACGACGGCUACUUCCGGUCGUUCAUCGACUUCGCGAGCUCCGGCGGCGCGGUGGAGAACGAGCAGCUGGUGCCGACGGCUGAUGCUUCGGAGACGGCGAAGAGCCCACACGUCGCGGUUUACAGCGUGCUGGGGUCCCCGUUCCAUGAGAUCGACUUCGGCGGCGCCGGCGCCGGCGGCCACGGCGGCCAGCCCUUCUUCUUCAUGCCCAGUUACGUCCCCGUGGAGGGCCUGGUGGUCGUCGUGCCGUCGUUCUGCAACGACGGCAGCGUCGAUGCCUAUGUGUCUCUCUUCAGCCACAACGUGGAUGAAUUCAAGACCUGCUGCUAUUCCCUGGAAGCAGCAGGAGAGGCACGCCUUUAGAAAUUACGUAGUCAUGCUGAAUAAUCUUUUAAGACCCCUGCUAAAUACAAGUUGCAUAUAAAUAAUUAUAUACUUAUACUUUCACCUCUUUAAUUCGGAACUCGUUCCUCAACGUUCACGGUGGCCACGACAGCAAAAAUGAUUUAGGCUGUUUGAUCCGUAUCAGACGACUGUAGUGCUCCUGUAAGUGGUUAACUGUACUAUGGUACACGUGCUUGCUUCCUAUAUGUUGCCGACGGCUGAAGUGGAAAAAAAAAUGCUUGUUUUUUUCCCUUCUAUAGUGAUGACCCCUCGACUUCCACUUCGCCUUCCUCAUUCCUCAGUUCCGUCGCUUUGCCUUCCGCUUCGUUCUUGUCGCCUCCACAGUCUUCCUCUCUGGCUUCAGUCCCUUGUGCCGGAACGGAAACAUCCCGAACCGAACCGAACCGCUUUCUAUAUUUGAUCCGAUCAAAUUCGUAUUUUUUUGUCCGACUUUAUCGUUUUCGUUUUCGUAUUUUAGAUGUUUCGUAUUUCAAAUAUAAAAGUAGAAAACGGUUUUGAUAUUUUUCGACCGUUUUCUACUUUUCUACUUUUAAAUAAACCGAAUUUAGUCAACUUUAGGGUCACACAGCCCAAUUACAGACUAUUCACCAUGCAUCUGCGUUCUUUCUACUAGUGGCUAGUUGUGUUCCUGUUAGCUAUUAAUUGCUUAUUCUAGACUUGUAUUUAUGUGUGGGCUAUUGUAUUAAAUACCUAAGACUAAGGAGCAUGCACUUUUUUAUUAUUAUAUGCACUUGAACUUUAUCCUAUAUAUACUUUUAGUCAUGCACUUGGUACUAUAUAUCGGUAUUUCGUAUUGAGUUUUCGUAUAUCGACCGUGUUCGACAUAAAUCCGAUCGAAUUGGUUCGUUUUCGAAAUUCUCGAUAUUUCGUAAGUUCGUGUUCGUUUUCGUGUCCGACUUUACCGUUUUCGUUUUCGUUUUCGUUUUCGUAUUUCAAAUGUAAAAGUAGAAAACAAUUUAGGUGUUCUUCGACCGUUUCCGACCGUUUUCAUCCUUACUUGUGCCCCAUCUUAGCCGUAGACAGUAAAAAUCGCCGGCGGCGUUGCUGAGCACUGCAUCCAAGCCGUAACCACUGAAAAUCGCCGGGUCCAUCGCUUGGGGGUGCAAUGCCAUAGUCAGAUUGGGAGAAGCGCAGGUGCCAGCUCUUCUUCAUUUCCUCUCCCCCCCCCCCCCCCAAUCCCAAUCGUACUCUGAAAAUCGCCGGGUCCGUCGCUUGGGGGUGCAAUGCCAUAGUCAGAUUGGGAGAAGCGCAGGUGCCUGCUCUUUCUUCUUCGUUUCCUCUCCCCCCCCCCCCCCAAAUCCCAAACGUACUUUUGACCCUAAUCAAAUCUGUUUAAUGUGCUUCAGGACACUACUCUGACUGCUGAGCAUCGGCUGGAUUCUGAGAAAGAGUUUGCUGCUCCUUCAGACCCAGUUACUUCAGAGAAAAAGUUCUGAAAUUCAGGUACUAUUUUUCUUGCUCUUUGUCCGUGUUUUCCCUUCUGUUCUUCCCACCCCCUUUUUAAAAGAUUUUCCCCCUUUCGAUUAAUUUUUCAGCACGUAAAUAUUCAUGUGUGUUAACGCUUUUAAAAUCUGUUUCAUAUGCUUCAGGAAAUUACUCCGACUGUUGUGCUUGGAUCCAUUCUGAAAAAGCGUUGCUUGCAUAUUCUGACGACUGCGCUUCAGAUAGUUGUUGUGAUGCUUACGCCUCUGAUUGAUUUUGCAAAUUAAGGUACUACUUCUAAUCUAUAUUAUUAUCCUCGUUAGUGCUACAUAAUGUUUUUUCCCUUGUAUAAAAAUAAUUGAAUAACAGUGAUACAUGUUGAUACCUUGAAUUUGGAAUUUUAAGCUUCCAUCCUGUGAUGAUUUCCAAUUUUAACUUAAACGCAGAAUGUGCUCAUGACUCAUACAUGUCCAUAAAUUUAGAUACCUUGAAUUUGGAAAUUCAAACUUCCAUCCUGCGAUGAUUUCCAGAUUUAAGUUAAAUUGUUAAAUGCACAAUGUGCUCCUGACUCAUACAUAUCCAUAAAUUUAGAGUCCUUCUGUUUUUAGUUGCCUUUUUUAUUCUAAAUAUUCUGGGUGCGAUGAUACUCCCUUUGUUUGUUGUCAUAUAUUAAUUCAUUCUGCACAAACUUAUAAAUGUUCAUAAAGUACGAAUCAUUGUGUUUGUCGUUAUAUUUUUGUAUAUUCGGCAAUUCUGAGAUCCCUCGCUACCUUUUUUUGUUGUCGUGCGUCUCUUUUGUUCCCAUUAUUGUGGGAGUAUACUCGGAGUGAUUCUUCCAAUGGUGCGCCAUGGAUAUAUCUGCUGAAGACAUUACGUCUAUAUAUAUAUAUAUAUAUAUAUAUAUAUAUAUAUAUAUAUUGGUCUUUCUUUAUCUCUCUUUUUUUUCGUCAAAAAAAAUAAUACUUGGUACAUAUAUUUGUAUAAUAUAAUAUAUUAUGCUCCAGUACCUGUGUCAGGGGUCUGAAGCAGGGUUUUCAAUUCCGCAAAGUGCAUCUGCGCCAAGGAAUAUAAGAACCUCAUCUGUACCACACGAAAAGUUCUCCACCAUUGAGGCCUUGUUUAGUUCACCCCAAAAAGCAAAAAGUUUUCAAGAUUCUCCGUCACAUCGAAUCUUGCGGCACAUGCAUGAAGCAUUAAAUAUAGACGAAAGCAAAAACUAAUUACACAGUUUAACUGGAAAUCGCGAGACGAAUCUUUUAAUCCUAGUUAGUCCAUAAUUAGAUAAUAUUUAUCACAAACAAACGAAAGUGCUACAGUAUCGAAAUUCGAAAUCUUUUCGGAACUAAACAAGGCCUUGAGUCGAAGCUUUACAUUAUUUAAUAUUAUGUCCUUACGGAGACAUUACAAAAUACCAGAUGUCAGCGCUCAUUAUGCCCCUGCAAGUAGUAGUCCUGCAGAAAAUCGGCAAAAAAGGAGAAAAUUACUGAAUCAACAUCGUUUAGCAUGGAAAGGUAUAUGACCAUUAUGUCGUAUGAACCAUAUAUUUUCAGUGUUGUGUACUGGUGUUUAGCCUCAUCUAAAUCCCUUAUUAUCGUCAAAACAAAUUUGUGUUAAACAAUUCCAUGCAGGCAGCACUGCUCCCUCUCAUAGUACAGCAGAUAAAAACUGUGGUCACUUCAGUGAUGAAUAUAUAAAUGCUCUUAAAGGUAUUCGUUAGUUAUUCUAUGUAGCUUCUCAUCAACUCGAUAGCAGUAAUCUGAGGUGCAGACCAACAGGAGACACCAUUUCAGCAAAUCACCAACAACAACUCGCCCUACAUCUUGGUGGAAGUCAGAUCCAUUGAAAUCAGGUACUAUUUCUGAAUUACCAUGAUUAUAACAGGUCCUAAUAUUUUACAAUAACACAGAUCCAAGCCCUUCUCCAUCCUUCUUCGAUUAACUCGAAUAAAGAAAAAAAAUCCUUAUUAAUAAAUAAAAAAAACUGACAAAACAGCACAAAAAAAUAUAUAAUGAUUGAUUCUGCGAUAUUUUAUAUCUGUACACUUACAUUUUAUAUUUAUCUCUUCCAUUCUCUUCCUUUUAGUAAUAUAUGAUAGUUCUCUAUUUCAUUGGAACAGAGCACAUGGAACCAUACCAGUAUCCCAACCUCACCAUCAUUAACGAAGACGAAAAUGUCAGGAUGAAGAUUGACAUACUCAGCCAAUACAUAAUUGCAAAGAUUCCAAGAGAUGAAACAGCUUCCAUCACUAUACAGGAUAUCCAAACAGCAGUUGAACUUCAGUUCAAUACUCAAGUGUACCCUCAUAAUAUAUCAGCAUUAGGCUCUGACUUCCUUCUGUUUGUACAUCCACCCAGCAAAUCUGCAGAAAUGCUACACACUAGAUACAUAGCCAUGUCUCCAAUCAGUCCAAUUCUCAUCCCAUGGCACUCAGAAUACGGCUGCAUCAAAAUUCCAGCAGAUACACAACUCGCAAACAUACAAGUUUGCCUUAUUACAAUACAAUUUCUCAAAGCAUAAACAAACCUCUUAGACAAGUUCUGAUAGACAUCCGAGGCAUUCCGCCACAUUUAUCCGACGAGACUACUGUCAAAACACUACUAAAGAGUAUGUGCAAAGUAGGCCAGAUCACAUUCACAAAUCCUCAGCCUAUACCAUGUUGCCGCAGAAACACACAACAUCGAUAUAAUACCAUUUGUGGCUCAUCUGGGUGUCAAAAAACUCGAGAAUGGACAACAUCUUCUACAUAUCUGGUCAAUUUCACUAAAUGCAUUCGACAUGACACCAAAUGACAAUAUCUACAUGCAGAUCCAGCAAGAAGAAGAGAAUGACAGAAUAGGUAUGCCUAUACUCAGUAUUUCUUAUAGUUUUACAACAUAAGAUUCACAUUUUACAUGCCACUACUAAUUUCAAACAAAUAUUAACAGCUUCAGCAGAUUGCGUUAGCCCCAAUGACAUAAUUCCAGCAGACCACAAUCAACAUGAAAAUAAUACCUAACAUAUAAUUAUAUAUGUGCAGAUUAAUCCCACGAAGCACACUCAAAAUGAUGGACCUACUAAACUCGCUACACCAGAUAACCAAAAUUAGCGUCCAUCCAAGCUACCCAUGUAUAAUAGUAUUGUAUUAGGCACCUCUAUAUGGAUCAAACAUAAUUAUGUAGUCACUCAAAUCUAAGACGAAUUUCAUCAUGUAAUAUAUGUACACUAUAUAUGAACUCAUCUUUUUCAGUGUCAACAACUAAAUAAAAUCACUAAGGCCAGUCUCAAUGCAUGUUUCAUAGGAGUGUCAUGCACAUUAAAUAGGGUGCCUCAUAAGCAAAAUUGCUGAUUUGGCAGGGUCAUUAAAUGAAGGAGUUUCAUCAGAUGAGAGAGGAGUUUCAUUCCCAUGAAACUCAUGUGGCUCGGUUACCUAGUUUAUAGUGUUGGUAAUUGUGCCAUGAAACUAUGCAUUGAGACUGACCUAAAAACAUUAGCGAUCGCGCGCAGGGGCGCGCGUUCCCACUAGUAUUUCUGUAAAGUGAUUCUCAACUAAACUAGAAGGUGAGAGCCCCCAAAAAACUAGGUCACGAUAUUCACUACUUCCUGUAUAUAUAAGAACCAUUUUUCACAUAGAAUUUUCCUAUAGAAAAUCAUAUAUCACUACUACAUAACAUUUUUUUGGAGGCGGGUGUUUUUUAUUUUUAAAGACGGGUAGAAGCAACCGCCACCAUUGUAAAGACACGAUUAAUCGUGAAUUUACGAAUAGGGUUAUCCUGCCCGUCUCCAUUAAUUGAUUAAUGGAAGUGGUUAUUUUAGAGCGCCCGUUGCCGUUAAUGAAUAUUACAAAAAAAAGGAAGACGGGCAGUCUGUGCUGCCGCCGCCACUAAUCCAUCGAGCCUGUUGUUGUGCUUCGUGUCCGUGUCGCCUUCGCCGCGUGCGUCGCCGCUGCUGGGGCAGAUCUGCAGGUUCGGUGGCCAUAUCCGCAGCUCUCUGGUGGCCGGAUCCGCGACCGAGAGCUGCUCCUCUCUGGAUUUGCCACUGUGGCCCUCAUCGAGGUGGCUAGCACCGCCGUGACCCCUCGUCGAGGCGGCACGCACCACUGUGGCACCUUGUCGGGGUGGCCUCGCGCCGUCAUGACUCCUCAUCGGGGCGGCCCAUGCUGUUGUGGCCCCUUGGGGUGGCCCACGCCGCCGUGGCACCUCGUCGAGGCGGCGCCGCGCCGUCGUGGCCCCAUACUGGGAAGCCGCCGUUAACCUACAGAGAGGUUGCCGGGGAGGGGAACAGUGGGACGGAGAGGAAAGGGGACGGGAAGGGAACGGAUGGGACUGGUAGGAGUGAGAGUUAGGGUUCAUCAUGAAUUCAUAUAUAUGUUGGAGAUGGUAGUGGGCUGGUAUGGGCUAGUGGGUUGGACUUGAUUUACAGAGGCGGUUGAAUUAGAAUGCCCACCUCGGUUAAUGACUUUCUAAGGUGGUUGCAUUAGAAUGUCGGACAGGUUAGGUUGACUGCCUCCGUAAAUCAAAUUUAUGAAGCGGUUUUUUUACCACCUUAGUUAAUAAAAAAUAACUGCCUCAUUUAAUCUGAAGCAUUAACCGAAGCGGUUUAAAAGGUUGCCCGCCUUCAAGCCUCUUUUCAAAAGGCCUCGCAAAAGAUUUUUUUUAUAGUAGUGUAUAGAGAAUCACUUGUAACACCCCCAUGUCACAAAUCUGCUUAUAUGGCCUUAGAUCCACAUGUGGAACAGGUCUAUAUGCACGUAGCACCUCUCUUGCAUAUAUGUCUAGGACCACCCUUUAGUUCCCCUUCACAAACACACAUACAACAAGGGUUGAUGAUCCAGAGGUGCUACCGUUGGAACGCCAAGGAUUAUAAGCUGCCCCAUGCUCUUAAACUUCCAAGAUAGUAGUAAAUCCACCAACCACAAUCACACAUGUGCCACUUGAGCCACAUGGGUCAACUUCACAACUACUACAUGCUACUAAUAGGCUGAGGUGCUACAUCACUUCUACCCUAUCAUUAUCUCAAGUGAAAAAAUAAUAUUCCUCUUCACAGUAUCUGAAAAGGUCUUUGGUCAACAAUACUUGAAUUACAUGGUUCCCUGGAUUCACUUCUACUAAAUGAUUUUCAAGAUGGUUGGACUUACAUUUGGGGAUCCAAUGUUUUCUCUUUAAGGAAAGCAUAUAAAUAGCUCAGUGGACAAGCUAAUGUACAACUUUAUCUUUAAGCCUACAGAUGGAUCUGGAAAAAUUGUAAUUCAAGUGUUGUUCAUUUGGCUUCACAGUAAUUCAAGUGUUGUUCAUUUGGCUUCACAGUAAACAUAUAUUUUAGAUUAAGAAGUUUGUCUAGAAUAAGUUACAUAAAAAAGUGAGAUAAUAAAAUUUAUGCGCAUAAGUUUUUUAGUCGAAAGAAGAAUUAUAUUAUAUAAUAGUUGGGUACAUCAGUCCGUUAGCACUCUUGAAUAAAAUACAUAUAUCCGUUAGCACUCUUGAUUUUCAUCUAAAUUAUACUCAAGCUGUGAAUAGCUCCAAAUCUCAAAACCAAACUUGUAUGACGUUUCAUAUGGAUGACCGCAUAGGCAAACACUCAGCAAAAGAUCUGAGAAUAGAUGCCCAACGAACGACGGCCAACAUUUCUGUAGGCGGAGUUGAGAAACAUCUUCUCUCUUUUGUCUUCUUCUUUCUAUCGCCGAAGAUUGAGAAAAGCUAAUCUGAAAAUUAUUCUCCCUAGUCCUUCAUCGUGGCCAGAUCCAACCACGACAAAACAAAGAAGAAACCGGAGAAAAUUAUUCCAUGACAGCGACAUCAUCUCUGCCUUGAUGUCACACUCCGGAAAGAAAGGUCUUCAUGUCGUUAUGACGCCGUAAUUGUCGCCCUCAUCUUCAACAUAGUCGUCAUAGAGAAAACAAUUCCACUCUUCCCCUUUGUUGUUGCCGGAGAUGAGGAGAAAAUAAAUACCCAAUACGAAAAAAUUUGGCAUGAAGAGACUCUAACCCUAAAGACUCGAUCUACUAGAAAACUUUUCAAAAACAAUGAAUUUCCACUCCAUUCAACCUUCGGUGAGACGCUAGAGGAGAUGGGAGAGGGACCAGCGGUGGUGGGAGAAGGGGCGGCGGUGGCUCCUCUUGGUUCCUAAAAGUUGUAAGCAUAACUUUAUAAUUUUCCAAAAAAAAAGAGAAAUUUACAAAAAUAUCUUUUUUCAUAAAAAGGAAUCAUGACGCUGGUGGGAUCGACCCCUGGAUUCCAGCCCACCCGUCGUUUGCUAAUUAGCUAGGUCGUCUAGGAGCUGUUGUUGAAUCAACUUCCACUUCGCUCAAACUACCACAAUAGCUAUUUAUUUAAGUUGAGUUAAUUUUCUAUUUAAAAUUCAGAUUUUAUUGUACCUAGUACUAACUAUGGAUUUUACGGUUUAUUUAAUAAUUUAAUUGGAUAAAAAGGGUGAGCCUCCCAAAUAAAUUAAUCUAACAUGUGACAAUUACGAAAGACAUCGCAACUGGUCUGUAAUACGAACCGGUUCUAAUAGUUACCAUCACAAUCAGUUUGUGGUCUGGCUGCAUUACCACUAAACUGAUCGUGACGGUACAAUAAUAUAUAGUUACCAGUUACUUUUACCAAAAUCCAUUGUGAUGUUCCCUCAAAAAAAAAUCAUUGUGAUGUACCAUUGUAAAGGCAAUUUCAGUAACAACGAACUCAGAUAUUCACAAUCUACAAUUUACAUAUAGGUUAAAGUGUUUGGAAAAUUAAGCGAAAAUAACAUUUAAGUAACCAACUCUGUUCUACACACGCGCUACUAUUAUCUUACAUUUAUUUUGUGCCUAUAUUAAAAGUGAGCUUAUUCAUAGCUGAAUCUGUUUGAGAUGUGUUCUUAUCUUAUCUGGAAGUUGAAUACUUUGAUGCAGAAGGCAAACAUGAAACUAAAGCAAACAGUGAAACCAACAACAGCAGUGGCUGCGUAACCCAAGUGAUCAUGCGUAAACCCAAAGAAUCUGUUGAUGAAAUCUUUUACUAUUUCCCCAUCUUCCAGCUCAACAUCUAUAAUAUCUCCAAAUUGGGAAGCCACAAGUCCAUAUAGUGUCCAAGCCACUGGGCAUGCCCACGAGUACCAUCUCCACCAUAUUGGUAUCCUCUGCAGAACGGUCAUGCAUGUAUGCUUCAGCAUUGCAAGGAAAAUUCAAACAUAUUGCAAAUGUACAUGGAGUUACUCUUAGAGACUUACUGGUCUGGGGAUAAUGAAGCCAGCAAAGAUAUUCCAUAUUGCAUAGCAUGCAGUUGAAGCUAGGGCGGCGAUGUCACUGUUUGGUGUCAUGGCAACUAACAUCAUCCCGUAGAAUGUGAAGUACAUGAACGUGAAGUACAUGAAAAACAUGUACCAAAAGAACUUUUGGACUGUCCAGUCAAAGUCUAUCAAGGCAUAUAUGAUGAGACCAUAGACAACGGUCUGGAGGAAGAUGUGUGGGAUCUCAAUUACAACCUGUUGAAGAGUUAAAUUGUUAGAAUCCAGCAGUCAGUUGUGACUUGGGACAAAUAUAGUACGAAUAUUAUUCAAAUAUUUUGUUACGACCAUUUACCUGUGCAAAAGCAUAGGGUAGAGCCGAGUACAUUCCAGCAGCCUUUUCUCGAUAGAAUACUGUUCUCUCAACUUCUACUAUCGGUUGUACGGAUAGGCCAUUCUGAACUCCAAUUAAAAGAACCGCAGCAUACAUGGAUCCCAAAGCGUCAAACAGGUCCUGUCUCUUGACACUGAAAAGAAUAGGUGAAGCACAAGUAGGUUUCUUUGUCACAACUCACAACAUGUCAAGCCUUAAUUGGCAAUAAGUGUUACUUACACUUUCUUGCCUAAGCUUAAGAAGAUGGUUCCAAAUACAAAGCCAAUAAGUGUGGUGAAGAAGAUUCUAGUUGCAGUGUAUGACGGGUUUCUCCAGUAUGACUUGUGCUGCUUCCAUAGGCAAGCCAUGCACUGUAUGAUGGAGGACUGUGAGUACUGUGUUGGAAAGUACAAGUCUUUGGAUCCAGGUGGAGGUGUGCUUAAUUCACUGACCAAAUUUUUGUUCUUCCUACAAUGGUGCAACCCAACCGUCAACAUAAAAAUGGAGCACAGAUAAAAGCAAGAAAACUAAUUGGUGUCACCGAACAUACCGGUAUAAAUCUGAAUUCCUAUAUACUUCAGCAAAGUUGCACCCAAGAACGUCUUCUUGAGCUAGGGUGGUCACUUCCAACAUCCAUGUUGCAGGAUUGUAACCGUCCUUGAUUUUCUUCACACCUCGUACUCCCUAUACAUUUGUAGCACCAAACAUAGUUACCGGUUACUACUUACCAUGCCUGGCAUAGGUCAAACGAUAGAUGUUUCGCUCAGUAGGUGAGUAACGAACCUCACCUCAAAGUACUUAAUUAGGUGGCAUGACUUGUCUCCCAAGGGGCCAACGUAUAUUUCUUCACCUCCCCAUUUUAGCAAGAACAACUUCAAAAGUUCAAGAACCACAUGUAGCCGUUGACAACUGAACAUUGGUUCAAGAAUUACUUAUACAAUUUUCUCAUCAUUUAUGCUACUUACCUCAUCAAAAGCUUCAAAGAUGUCGAUGCUGGGCUGAUGGAUUGUGCAGACGACUGUUCGUCCAGUAUCGACCGUGUUUCUGACUGUCCUCAUCACAAUUGCAGCUGCCCUUGCAUCUAGUCCCGAAGUUGGUUCAUCCAUGAAUAUGAUGGAUGGGUUGGCAACAAGCUCAACUGCUAUAGUGAGCCUCUUCCUCUGUUCGGUAGAUAAACCAUCCACUCCUGGCAGCCCCACUAAUGCUCCCCUCAGUGGCAUUAGCUCGACAAGUUCAGCAACCUCCUCCACAAACAUCUGUGUUCAUAAAAAGUUAUUCAAUCACACCAAGUGCUCUUGUAAUCCAUUGCAAUUCCAAAAGAAAAGGUCAAUGAGUUACUUAUGAGCUAUCAGAAUUUUUUUUCUCGAUCGGGUGAAUACACCCGUUUUUCAUGAGCUAUCAGAAUGAAGGUCAUUAUAUUCGAUCUACCUUUCUUGCUUCCAAGUCAACUUCAGGGGGCAGCCGGAGCCAUGCUGAGAAUAGGAGGGAUUCAUAAACAGUGACAUGUGGAGAGUGGAUAUCACUUUGCUCACAGUAACCAGCGAUCCGAGCAAAGGUCUCUUGCUUCUUUGGGUAUCCAGAUACAUAAAUGUCUCCUUCAGUGUAGCCACUAGUUUUCCUUCCUGCCAACACAUCCAACAGAGUUGUCUUACCCGCUCCGCUGACUCCCAUCAAUGCCGUAAGGGCUCCAGGUCUGAAGGCUCCACUUACACCCUUCAGUAGUAGUAGCCGGUCUUCAGUAAUACCUUUGUUUUUCAUUUCCUAUAGAAGAUAAAUAGAUUGAGAUAUGUGGAGUAUAAUUAGUACUUACUAUUUACUAGUAGCAGUUUUUGUAUGCGUAAAAAUAAAAAUCUACUUUACUGUCUCUGUUUGUAAAUAAUUCUUGUUCUAUUUUGUGCCUGUGUUGUUUUUCUUUCGUUUUUGGCCGGUGCUAGCAUAGGAUUGUGUUGUAUGUAUUUUUUUUCUUUAAUGAAAUGCUCAAAAUUCUCCUGUGAUGUUCAUUAAAAACAAAUGACAAAUAUUGCUUACCUGAGGCAUGUCCACGGAGUAUUUGAUAUUGUCAAAGGUGAUUGUCAAUGGCGUAAAUGGAAGUACCAUUCCUCUCUUCUUGGUGUCUGCUCGGGUGAUUUCUCCACUUCCUGCAAUUGUAGUUAGUGGAUUCUUUAAAGGAUGCAAGACUGACACGUACUGUUAAGCGGAUGUUACAACAGAGAAUAUUUAUGACAGACCAUCAGAUGGUGAAUUCUGGCAGUCUGUUCCAAGAGGCAGCAGUUCAACAUUCUCACCAGUACGGUUUUGUUGCUUCUCUCUCAGUCCCUUGUCAGAAACAAUAGUUUGGCCUUUUCUAAGUGCUGUUAUAAAAGGAAUGACAUGAUGCCAAACAUAAGAUGGAUUCUUUUCAAAAGGACAAACAUAAGAUGGUUUUGUUCUAAAAGACAAACAUAAGAUUUUUUAAGUGUGUGAAUCAAUCUAUCUUUGAACUGGAGAGUACUCACGGCCAAGCCAGUCAAGGAACAGUACAAAGAGUAAAUUGAAGAUCAUGAUGUAUCCAAGCAAUGCUCCAACACCAAUCCAGUACCAGUUUCGGUCUACAAAAAUGCCACGUGCCUUUAGGAUUUGGACACCGAGUGUGUCAUUAUUUUCUGUCCUAUCGACCUGCACAAAACUUCAUGUCAUUUGUCACUUCAAUUGUCAAUCUGAACUUCAGAGACAUCAAGCUUGCGUUGGUUGGAUCACCACCUGCCAACUAUUGCCAAGGAACUCAUUCACCGCUAUGGCAUUCUGGGCAUACAUCAGAGGGGAGGACCAGUAACCCCAAAUCCACGAUUUCUUGAUGUUAUCUGCAGAAAGAGAACUAAGUCCCACACACUGGACACUAAAUGAUGACUGAAUGAAUACAUUACAUACUUCUUGCUAUCAAGAAUCCACCAAGAAUUAGCAGGACAAUCUGAGCAAAUGAGCCAAAUGUCUCUGCAACAACCAUGUCUCUUCCUACUGCAGCAAGAAGCCGGAAAAGACCAGAUGCCAUUUGGCUUAUUAGUACAAGCAGUAGGUAAUGACGGAAGAAUCUUUCAAUGCUUGGAUCAAAACCAAUGACAUAGUAAGUCAUGCCAGUCCACACAGCACAUUCCAAGAAUGAUAUUGGGAUCUUGAGCAACCAUGUAGGCAAUGCAUAUGCCCAUGAUGGAUAGAAGAGAUGAUCUCUCUGCUUAUAAAAUAUUGGCAGCUUUGCAAUGCUCAUGGCAACCUCAACAAAACCAUUGAACAAAUGUGUAACUAGGCCGAGGAACAUCGCGCCUAGAAAGAUGACUCCAUCUUCGACAUCAUGUCGAUGCAUUUUUGUGCGCAGGAAGACCGUCAUUGCAAUGGUUCCUAGGAUAAUGAGCUGGUACAGGUAUGUACCAACCAUCCAAAUCUAUAACUAUCUGAAUUUCAAAAUAGAGAAGAUUUAAGGAAACAAAAUGCAUGUUUCUUACCUGCACUACUUUGAUGAUGUAAACGAAUGAGUUCCUCUUCAUCAGCAGCCACUCCCUAGAAAAGCAUGCCUUGAGAAGCUCCAUCCUGCUAAUACCAAACUUUGAUGUUGUGAGGGCAGCAGGGUGGUUCUUGGUUCGAUCGAAGGGCACUUCGAGCUCCAAUCCCAAUGCAUUCCCAACAUGAAAUACUUUGAAGGCCUCUACGAAGUCAUUUACUGAGACGUACAGAUAUGGCUCAUCUCUUCUACACCAGUACUGGUAUUGAUCCUUCCUAGAAGUAACCUGUCGAUUGAAAUAGAACAAUGUCAAAUUGGAUUCUCGAAAUUCUGAACGUUACAGUAAAUGGCAUUCUCCCAGAUCACUCACUUCUUGCAAGAAGUCUGCAACACCUUUCCUAUCAGGACAUCUGAAACCCAUGGCCUCAAAAAACUCGAUGACAUUUUCUCGAGGACCCUGGUACACGAUUUGUCCCUCGGCAAGGAGAACAAUAUCAUCGAAUAGUUCGUAUGUUUCAGGUGCAGGCUGAAGCAAUGAGAUGAGUGCAGUGCCACCAAGGAUGUGGACCGACUGCCUUAGAGAGUUGAUGAUCUGAUAGGUCGUGGAGCUGUCCAGACCAGUGGAGAUUUCAUCCAUGAAUAGUGUUUUAGCUGGCCCAACAAGCAUCUCACCUAUGCAAAUCAAACAGGUUGAGAAGUCAGAUAUUUCUGUUAUGCUUCAGGUUUUAUGUAUGGAUAGUUCUUCUUAGCUGCAGAUUACAUACCAAUUGUGACACGCUUCUUUUGUCCCCCUGAGAUACCUCUGAUCAUAGAGUCUCCAACCAUUAUAUCUGCACAGAUAUCCAGACCCAAAAUCUGCAAAAUAAAUGAAUACCAUUACUGUUGGGGGCGAAGGGUCAUAUCCAUUUCCCCUGUACCUUCUUCGUGUAGUGUGCUCUUUUUUAACUCACUUUGAGGAUGUAAUCAGUAAUGAGGUUCUCUUGUCCUUCCUGGGAGAUGGCCUGUUUGCACAGAAUAGCACAAAUACUUUGAAGAUCCCCAUACUUCUUUUUCAAAUAAGGGUUUGAUUCAAAUUUAUUGACAAUUCUACCUUCAUGUAAACAUCAAUGUCAAGAUCAGGCCUAAUUUUGGCUUGUUUCUCCCUUCUUGAGAGUUCAGUAAGCAUAUCUACGAUGUAGAACACCAUGCAUAGAAGUCACUAAACAAAAGGCCCUUCCUUUCAUAUGACUUGUUACAUAGCAAUACAUACCAUAACGUGUUCCAACUCCUUGACAUCUUGCAGCAAAUGCCAAUGUUUCACGGACCGUCAUUUCACCUAUGUGAACAUCAUGCUGCCCGAUGUAUGCCGAUGUGCUUUGAGGGACAAAUUCGUCCAUGUCAUGUCCAUUAUAAGUCACCCUUCCUGAUACCUGAAUAAUUCCAUUACAAAGUUCAUCGAAGAAGCCAUGUUAGAACCUUAUCUAGUUUAAUUUUCUUUGAAGUAGUCUUCUACCUUAAGUUAAUAACAACUCAAACUCAAGAAGCGUGCACGCUGUGAUACCUUUAGGGUUGAAUCAAGUUUCCCUGCCAAAGCUAGAAGUAGACUCGUUUUCCCAGAUCCAGGAGCACCUAGCAACAAAGACAUUCUGAACAAAUUCCACGUGGUGACUAAACUCCAACCUAAAGCAAAAUCAUUUCUAUAUUCUGUUCUGAAGCUCUUGGUUUGUUACCUAUUCGGUCUUACAAUUCCACUUAUGUCAUGAAGGAUGGAGAUAGGUCUCUUCCCACUGGAGAUAAUGUGCAAAGCAGUCAGCGCAUCCUGAGAUAGGAACAGCUCACAACAGUCAGGAGCUGAACUGCUGAAGAAAUUUGACAACCCUUUUUCCCACGGCUAGGAAGCAUGAAAUAUUUAUGCCACUACAAAUGCAUACCAUGACUUUGUUGGAGAAGAAGUUGGUGAAUGUUGGGACUCCCUGUUUGCCAACAUAGACCUCCGUGUUGAUGGUCAAGUGCUCAAACCGCACUUCUAUCGUUGGGUUCUCAAUCCCAACUCUACAAAAAAAAAACAUCCUUAGAAAUUAACCAUGGAAAUCAAGAUGACUUGAGUGCAUAUGCUCAAAAAUCAAAUUAGGUGCAUAAUCAAACAGUUUUCUCAUGCUUGUGCAUGUCAUUCUUCAGGUGCUUCUGAAGUUUUCAAAAGAUUGUGAUCAAUGACUUAGGAAGAAUGAAGUGGAGCUAGUUAUGAGUGAUCACCGCUCCAUCCGUUCACGCAGUUUCAGAAGGAACCUCUCAUUGUCCUCCUCAGGGAUACGGAUGAGGCGCUGGAUGAGGCAUUGCCUUUCCUGCAUGCUGAGCCCUUGGAUGUCCACCUCCUGUAUGCCGCCACCCACUGCUGUGAGGAUGCCUUUCCUCAUGCGGUCGUAGGUGGGAAGCUUCUCUAUGGCCGCCCAUCGCAGCACCUCCUCGUCGUCCUCCUCCCUCGCUGACGACCGGAAUGCAUUGCUUCCUCUUGACGCCCACCAUGAUGAUGAUGUCCGCAGCAAGCUCCCAUCCAGGUUGCUCCCCAUCCUCAUCGUAUCCACCCUCCUCCUGUCCUCCUCAAUACAUAGAGCCCCAGCAAAAUAGACCUCUUCAAAUUCCUUUGUUUAAUAUCUUGUUUAUUUGAUCCUUUUUUGUUUCUUGUGCUCUUGCUCAAUCGCUUCUCCUGUCUUUUGUUAUUGUUUGCUACUAUAUAUGCAUGGUGGAAGCAAGCUAUGCUUGUUGCGUACCAGACCCCCUACAAAAAAAAUUUGGUAGUGCCAAAUGUGAGGGUGGUGUUUUGUUAAAAUAGGAGGUGGAUGCAGACGUUCAGAACUUCAGACACGCUCCACGACACACAAGUGCAUGCUACCUAUAUUUGAAUGUCGACAGGCAGGGACCAAAGUAGCAGAGGCAGAGAAGUAGCAUUAAAAUGGAGAUGGUGCAUAAUAAUAUUCCUUAUGAUAUAGUAAAUACCCCCUCUAUUUCAAACUGUAGGUCAUGUUAGUUUUGUUUUUGUCCUACAUAUGCCAAACUAGUAUAGCUAUGACUAAGUAUAUAGGAGAAUUGUUUAAUAUCUACCACAUCAAAAUAGUUUUUGGCUUUCCAAAUAUUAACACAUUUGUGUAUGAAGCUAUGAAACAUCAAAGCUAAAGAAAUUUGAAUUAGGUCUCACAAUUUGGAACUCGUUACUACAGAUACAACUUUAAUUCUGUUGGUCCCUCUUUUACAGGGCAUUUUGAUUGGAGACAUAUAAGAGACAGAUGAUCCCAGGCUCUGUUCCUCCAAAUCCGAAGGACAGGGUAAUUGCCCCCCCCCCCCCCCCCCCCCCCCCCCCCCCCCUCCACUUGAUGCGGCAACACGAGGCAGGCGCCGUCCAUUUCAUCCCUCCCCUUGUAGAGCUGGCGAGCGGGCGCCGCGGCCGAGCGGCGACGGUGGCGCGAGCGGAGCGGCAGCUGGAAUGGAAGAGCAGCAGUGCGCCACGGCAUGAAGCAGGCGGCUGGCGACCGGCGAAGCAGCAGGUGGCGGCGCUGAAGUCUGGACGGGAGAGCAUUCCAUGUCCAGGAUUUGAGAAUUUUAGAAGGAAGCUGACGAAAUUCAGGCCCACAUGGCAGUCAUAGUAAAGGUUAAUUUGGCCCAAGAAAUGUGUAGAAAAUAUAAUGAGAAGAAAAAUUAAAAUGAGGAAGGUAACAUCACCUACAACAAUUUUUUUUGACAAAAACACCUACAACACUGAACGUAUCUGGUGGAAACCACAACCUUAAGUCGUCUAAAUUCAUCAAAAAAAAUCACACAUAGAUGAUAUGAUGAUACACAACCUUGUAAAAUAUCUUGUCUAAAAUCAAAUUCAUUUGUGAGAUAUAAAAUAACAAAUUUUAAGCCAAAAAGUUGUCCAUAGGAUUUGUUAGAAAUUUGUUAUUUUUAUAGCUCACAAACGAAUUCGAGUUUGGAUAAUAUAUUUUAUAAUGUUGUGUAUUAUCAUAUCAUCUAUAUAUGUGAUUUUUUGGUGAAUUUAGACGAAUUUUUUACCGUGAUUUACACAGAUUUUCACAAAAGCUGGUUCCCUAACAAUUAAGGCGAAGAUGAACCUCCCUGGUAACCCCUCUGUUCCAUCAACUACUGUUGGUGAUAUGCAAAAACAUGUCCAAUAAAUCUAAAAGAUAUAUUGGUGUAUCCCAAUCAACUUAUUUGGUUGUAUUGUUGGUGAUAUGUUGGAGAAUUUCUUUAACCACAUCAAAGAGUCCUAUAUCCCCAUCCCUCAAACCGAACAAUCGAUGGGACAAUUCUAUCCCACGUCAUUGCUCGACCAAACAAAAAACAGGAUGAUCAUAUCCUUCAAAUCUAACAAAGAGUGGGAUGAUCACAUCUCCUGGACGAGAACAUCACAUUCCAUGUUGUCCAUAGACCAAAUGCAUGCCUGCUAAACUUCAAAGGUGUGAUCCAUUUAUGGAGGCAAUUUUUACAAAAUUUAUAUCUAAAUAAAAUUUUAGAACAACUCCUAACUUUUGCAUGUGAAGUCGGAUAAAGACAGUUUAUUUAAAAUUGUAGAGAUGAAUGAGAUGGAAAACUUUGUAGUUGAUAAAGUUCUAAUUUAAAAUUAUUAGAGCACCAAAAUUUUAUUUUAAGUUAUUAGGUUUUGACAUUUAAAAUUUAGAAUUCUCUAACGACCUAGGAUGUUGACAUGGUUUAUAUAGAAGUUAGAUUUAUCAAAUGUAACCUCUAACUCUGUAGUUGUUAAUUUUUUUAUGGGAAGUCAUUAGAGUCUUAAAUAUUAGUUUUAUAUUCUUAUAUUUUGAAAUUUAGAAUUUAGAAUUUUCAGAUAACUUUAUAAGUUGUAGUUGUGAUACAGCUAUAUAGUUGACAAGUUUUUUAUUUGUAAACAAUUAGAUCCCAAAAUACUCAUUUUGAUUUUAUUGAAUUUUUAGAUACAAUUUUUCAUAAUUUUCAAACGAUUUCUCAUGGAGGCACAUCCUACACCAAACUUGUUAUGGUUGACGAUCUAAACUUCCUAGUUAUAACCUUUUUCAUUUAAAAUAGUUUAGGAACCGAAAUAUUCAAUAUUUAGAUUCCUAAAAGCUAAGAUAAAAAGAUGUAUCCUAUUCCAAGACACAGAGUGUGUAUAGUGUAGUGAAAUGAUGAGAAGUUUGAGGCAAUAAUAGGUCACAGGUUCGAGUCCUAGGAAGUGCACAUGCAGUGUGGCAAUGAUAGGAGUAUUAGUCAAUCACGCUAGCGAAGAAACAGUAUUUUUCUGUCACAGCAAAUCAGCAGCGAAACGAACACUAAGAUUGCGGGACUCACUGUGUACCAGGGUAUGGCAUUGCCUAAUUUAUGCUAGACUAGCCAACGGAUCUUGAGAAAGUCAUAAAAAAGUGAAUCACUAUCGAUGUGCUAUCACUUACCACUUAGAAUAUGUAUAUGUAUAUAUGUAUGCAUGCAUGGCCUGCAAGUAAUCUAGCUAGGCAGGCUCAUUCAUUUAUUCGUUCUGUAUGAAAACUCAGAUGCCCUUGUCGACAUGUAUCCUAGUGUUUGGACACGAAGGGACACAACCUUUGUAUUUGUGUAGCCUUUACGCGUUGUUGUUACGUUGUACAGCUUGAACUUUGAAUAAAGUGUGUUCCCUACUAUAUGUAUUAUUCACUUAUCGUGUUGAUUCGUGGAAUGCGAUCCCCAUAUAUACAUGGACAACAUCCAGAAGCAUCAGACGAAAUUAUCAGUCCAUCCUCCAGGACCCUGUCAGUUCCCAGUGCCGGCCAUCCGGCCUAUUAUUAGACAAAUGGAUCCUAAAUUAUUCAGUUGCACAACUAAGGGCUUGUUUGGUUUCUCUUGCUAAAUUUUAGCUAGCUAAAAAUUAUUUUAGUUACUCUUGGGUGACUAAUAGAACUAAACUAUUUUAGCUCCUUUUAGUCAAUGUGUUUGGAACUUUAGCUACUAAACUGACUAAAGUUUAGCUAGCUAAAAUUUAGUUGGUGGAACCAAACAGAGCCUAGGUGUUGAAAGCAAGGGAACAUACAUGCCGCAAUUAUCAAACUAAACUACACCGAUUUUGUUUUUAAAUUUGCGACAACAGGUAUUAGCAUGAUAUGGUGACCUAGAACGAACCCUGCUUUGUCAUCAGGAAAUCCUAUACAGCUAUACUCAACUAGCCUUUUUUUUGAAACAUAUACUCCACUAGCCUUUAUUUGCCUGAUGAAAUAGACGUAAUGACAUUGAGGGUUAGGCUCGAUCUAGUCAAAGGCCCUCCUGUAAAAAAAGGUCUAAGUUAUAGUAAAGCCUAAGUACUUGUCUGUAAUUUGUAGAGUAAUGGAAGGUUGGGAGUAAGAUAGUCACCCUGCUGUAUAAACAGAGCCCCUUGGCUAUGUAAAGAGGUGCACUACUGUAUUUAGGGGCUUUGCCCAGAGCGUGGGACGCUCGGCAAAGGUAGUUUAGCUCUCGACAAAGGCUUUGCCGAGAGCGACUUUCGGCAAAGGCCCUUCGGCACAUCUUUUAUCGGUAAAGAGGUAUUUGCCGAGAGCUAUCCAUCGGGCUCUCGGCAAAGGGUUUGCCGAGAGCCAAAACCCAGCUCUCGGCAAAGAAAAGUAACCGUUACGGCUGAUGGCGACUUUGCCGAGAGCUGUCUGGCCAAGCUCUCGGCAAAAAGAAUUUUUUUUUUUGAAAAAGUCGUUGCCGAGAGCCUCCAGGAGGGCUCUCUACAAAGAGAUAAUUUUUUUUUUAAAAAAAGGUCUUUGCCGAGAGCCUCCGAGAGUGUUCUCGACAAAGAGAUAAUUUUUUUUAAAAAAAAAGUCUUUACCGAGAGCCUCCAGGAGAGCUCUCGGCAAAGCUGGAUAUUUUUCCAAGCUGAUGGCUCCUUUGCCGAGAGCCCUUCCCCUGGCUGGGAUGUGCAUGGUGCUUGGCGAUGGCUUCCUUUGCGGAGGAUUCAGUACCGACGGGUAUGCCAUAGUUUUCUUCUUAUGCGUUGGUAACCGAUUCCUCUGGAUGCUUCUUUGUGCCGUCGGAGCCCAUGCCAUCAAUGGUGACGCUGGUCUCGCAAGCUACGACAUGAUGUCAAAUGUACGGUGGGGUUCUAGUGGAUUUGAUUACCAACUCGAUGAGAAACCGGGUUGGGUUUUGGUUCCCACCUUCUUUGGUGGUGCCGCUCCCCUUCGGGGUUCGUCGUCGUCGUUCGGUGAGCUGAGGGCUCUGGUCCUUGUGGCGUCAGAUUCCUCGGUGUCCGACGAUGUGAUGGUCGACGGCCAUCUUUUCCAGCCGGGUCGUUCAGCGGUUACAAAGCAUGUCGGGAUCAACGUGCUACACAAGACGGCAACAAAAAACUGUGAUUCUUCGCCGGAGAGGAGGUUGGCCUCAAGCAAUGUGCUCUGGCCGCCGGCGGCGAGGCAAACCAGGAGUUGUCUACAAGAACUGAGUUGUAAUUUUCUUUUCUUUCAAGGAUGUUCUUGUAAGAUUUGGGCUAUAACCACCAAAACUUUUAUGUGAAGUAAUAAAAAUCCUGGUUUCUCCAACAAAAAAAAAAAAAAGUGGUGGUCGUCGUCGACCCCGCCGCCGCCGGUGAGGACGGCGCGGAGCGGGCUGGCGUAGAAGAGCUCCACGCACAUGUCCAGGAACGCGCCGCCGGCCACCACGGGAGCCCCGCGCGUAACGACGAAGGCGGGUCGGCCGCGACGAAGCGCGCCACCGCCAGCUGCAGCAUAUAGCAAGUUUGGAGCUUUUCAUUUGUCGGAGUUUCACAAAUGGGGAUGUAGCUCAGAUGGUAGAGCGCUCGCUUAGCAUGCGAGAGGUACGGGGAUCGAUACCCCGCAUCUCCAUCUAAUUAUUUUUCGUUUUUCUGUCUUGCCCAAACUUUUUAUCCAGUCCAUCCGGCCCUUUUGUCGUUUUUCUGUCCAGCCCAAGCUUUUUAUCCAGCCCAACCGGCCCGUCAUUUCAUGCAGCGAAUUGAUAGUUUUUUAUCCAGCCCAUGCAGGAGUAGUGAAAGUGACGGCCCACAGCAAUACUCUUCUUAGGCCUUAUUUAGUUUGCAAAAAUUUUUGGGUUUAACUACUGUAGCAUUUUUAUUUAUAUUUGAUAAUUAUUGACUAUGUACUAACUAUGCUUAAAAAGUUUAUCUCAUAAAUUAUAGACAAAGUGUUAAAUUAGUUAUUUUUUAUCUAUAUUUAAUACUUCAUGUAUGCAUCUGAAUAUUCGAUGUGAUGGGGAAUCUUGAAAAUUUUUUUAGAACUAAACAAGGUCUUAGUCUUUCCAUUUCCUCUUUUUCUUUUGGAGCAAAAUCUUUCCAUUUCCUUAUUUUUCUCUUUCGUUUAGCAUUCCACCUGAAUCCAUCCGGCCCACAUCAGUAUUGCUUUUGGGCUUUUGUUAUCAUUCUCCCUGAAACGGCCCACAGAAGUAGUGAAGGGACGAUACAUUUGCAGCGCCAUGUACGUCUCCAUUUUUUCCUCCCGGAAGGUACAACUAUUCUUCUCCCAAAAAAGCCCAUCAUCUGGUUUUAGUACAACUACAUUAUUUAUUUAUUGCAUCUUCUUCCCUUAAAAAAAAUAUUGUCUAAGCUCACAAGUUCAGAACAGGGUCUACUGCUUUGCUGCUGAGCUGGCGGAAGGACGAACAAAGCAAGCACACGUCGCCUGAUAAUUUGGAAGAAAACAUGCCCAUGUUUACGCCUUGUUCAGUUCCCAAAAUUUUAGGUAUUUAGGUAUUGUAGCACUUUUAUUUUUAUUUGAUAAAUAUUAUUCAAUUAUGGACUAAAUAAGUUUAAAAGAUUCAUCUCUCAAUUUACAGACAAACUGUAUAAUUAGUUUUUAUUUUCAUCUAUAUUUAAUGCUCCAUACAUGUGCCGCAAGAUUCGAUGUGAUGAAGAAUCUUGAAUUUUUUUGAAACUAAACAAGGCCUUAGUAGCAAUUUCACCUAUUAGUUUCCAAAACGUAAAACUUAACAUGAAAUAGAUCUCUCUCAGCGCAUAGUUUUAUUAGCACAAUUUCAUGGGCUUAUUUUUAGCCUUUCAAGUUCCAUUGGGUUUUUAAAACUUUUGUGGUUCUCACGUGCACGAGAUAAAACGAACUAAAGAUUCUCAGUGGAGGUUUCAUGUGGUUUCCAAUAUUUUGGAAACAACUUUCACUCGUUUCGUCCCUAUAUAUGAAACAUUUCCCUUUUAUCUCUUUCUCGAUAUAUGCAAAAGCUCUAUUUUCUGCUAAUGUGACACUUCAUUUAGUGUAUAUGAAAUCUACAUUGAGAUUGGCCUUAUUAUUAUUAUGCACGUAGAAAUAGUUUUUUUUUAAAAAAAAGAGCCCCAAGUAAUGAAGGCCCUCAAUCGUCGUGAUACAAACAAAUUAUGUGCCAAUACAAUACUCACUCAAUUAUUGAAUAACUCAACUUAUAGAGUUAUUAUCGUAAAUGUUGCCACUAUUUUACAUAAAAUUAGUUAAACACAAAAAAGUACUUAAAAUACCUUUAGAAAUGAUAUAUAUCUAUGGAUCUCUUUACAACUAAAAAGAGUAAAAGAUCGACACCCGUUUCGUGCGACAUUCGGCCGACGGGUUUUCGUCCUGCCUCCUCCUGCGACGCGCCUCCUCCUCCACGCAGACGCAGAGCGCCCGCCUCCCCCUCGCCCGCCUCCUCCUCCACGCACGCCUCCUCCUCGGCGCCCCCUCCUGCGACGCGCCUCCUCCUGCGGCCUCCUCCUCCACGCAGACGCAGAGCGCUCGCCUCCCCCUCGUCCGCCUCCUCCUCCACGCACGCCUCCUCCUCGGCGCCCCCUCGCCCGCCUCCUCCUCCACGCAGAGCGCCCGCCCUCGACGAAUCCUCCACGCAGAGCCCCCACGCAGAGCGCCCGCCUCCAUCCUCCUCGACGAAUCCUCCUCGGCGCUCCCUCCCAGAUCCUCCUCGACGAAUCCUCCUCGGCGCCCGCCUCCUCGACGAUCCUCGACGCCCCCUCCCAGAUCCUCCUCCACGCAGAGCCCCAUAUCAUCCUCCUCGGCGCCCCGCUCCCAAAUUCUCCUCGGCGCCCGCCUCCUCGACGAUUUCUCCUCGGCGCCCCGCUCCCAGAUCCUCCUCGACGAAUCCUCCACGCAGAGCCAACCGGUGAGCCACUACGGUGAAGCCCAUGGCCAAAUUCCAGACGCCUGCAAUAAUAGGUAGCAUGUCUAAUGUGUAUCUAGGUUAUCUACCUUUUCUAGAAUUGAGCAUUUUAAUUUUAACUCUGGUUACCAUUACCAUCAAGAAAGAGAGAUAAUCAGUAACAAAUUGUUUUUUAGGAAAAAACAAGAAAUUAAUUGAUAGAAAAUAAGUUACUUUUGGAAAUUUUGAUAGAAAAAAGCUAACUCAAUUUAUGAAAAAAGCUAAGUUCAUCUUGACUGAUGGGGAAUGAGAUGAUAAAAGUUAAGUGCUAGGCUAUUAAGUUAAGUAUGGUCUUGUUCUAACUCAACCUACCCUGGUACUUGCUUCCCUGAUUGUGCAAAUCAGUAGAUGGUUACUCAAAAAAAGAGAAGCUAUACUGUAGCUCAGUCUAAUGCAUUUCUUUUGAUUUAGUUAAUACCAAACUCAAUCUUUUCCUACUACUGCAAAGUUCUUUGUAUAGGCUUGAAUCUCAACAUAGUGUUGUAUGUAGGAACCCUUAACGUAUAAUGCUUUUGUUUUUGGAAAAAAAAUUCUAUUCUUUCUAAAAGGAAUGACCACCUUCAUGCGUUGCUACAGUAUUUUCAUUGCAGUCCAUUUUGCUGAUGGUCUUGUUUUCUGUAGUUCAAGAGGCUGAACCUGAAGAAAAAUUAUUGGAGGUGUGAAUCCUACAAAUUCAAUAUGAUGGAUCUUGGAUGUGUUGCUUUCUCAUGCAUGCAUUGGUGAAAUAAUAGCAGUAAUGUAUAUACAUUUAUUUUCCUUUUCUUUUUUGACUGAAUGGCUACUUGAAAUAUGUUAAUUCUAAAACAAGCAGUAUAGCUAUUAUGUGCUUCACAUUAUUGUAGUAUCUUUUCAGGCCUGACCAUACUACCAGAGAGCUGGAACGCCGCCACCAAGGUCCACUACCACGCCGCCAUCGAGGACCAAUGCCACAUCCGCUCAACCGUUCCUGAUACCAGGUUGGGCUGAAUAUAAUCUCACUUUUGUUUCUUUGUGAUUGUUGAUGGUAGAAGAUAAGAAGCACUCAAAUCAGUAGAGACCUAAACUUAUUUACUAAUUCAGUAGAGACAUAAGAUGUUACAUCCUGGUUAUGAUCGCUAUAGAAAUCUUUGUGUCUUUGUCGAGACAAUAUUGAUUCAUAGAUAUUUUAGUGUUUCACAGCUUAGACUAUAGUUACUAAUAAUUGGCCAAAACAAAUAGUCUGUCGAAAUACACUUGAAAACAUCAAAUGCCAUGAUCUCUUGGUAAUAAAGUGUUGUAGUUAAACAUUGUGUGCCCGUACCUUUCUACCUAUCAUGUUAUUCAAUUCUGAUGGAUCUUCUCACUGUGGUUGUUUUUUAGCAGACAACUACUAUAGGCAGUAGCAAUCAGUACAUUAAACCUGCAAUUUCUUAAUGUGGCAACUGAGUUUACACUUGCAUCUCUAGAAUGUAGUAGCUAAGCGAACAUAACGUGAUAGCCUUUGUGCUGUGGACGAUCGCUAUCCUGUACGGACUGUAUUUUUUCUCCUGAAUAAAAGGUACCCAAACCUAACUUUAGUUACGAGUGAAAGGAAAAGAGAAUGUCUGUGAAUUGGUAGCUUAGUGUUAUUAACCAAAACUCCAAUAACAUGAAUUAAAACUAUCUUUUUUUAGGUAACCAUGCUACUACUGCAAGCUAAUAGUUCUAAACAUGUGUUCCUUUAUUUAUCAGUUAUUUUCACUCGCCUAAGCUAUAUUGGUAGUUCAGUAUCAGCUAUAUUCAAUAUUUUUUAAGGAAUUUAGAUUAUUUUUGCUUCAGCGCAAUUCCCUGAAGAUUUAACAAUUUGAAGUCCUUCGAAUUCAUGCAUUCAGUGCUCUUCUUUGUCUCUUUCCACAUAUCCUGUACAAUAUAUAGCUUUACUGAUGUUAAGAGUUCAUAGGUUCAGGUUUGCAUUUAUCUAAACAUAGCUGAUCAGAUGAUGCUACCAUAUAUUUACUUAUGCACUCCUAUGUUGCAUGUGAGACUAUUGAUAUGAUUUUUUAAUAAUAAUAGAACACUUAAUUCCUUAAGUAUUUGUAGCUGAUCAACGACCUGUUCGUCCAGGAUAGAAGCAGUGGUGGUGCAGCAGCAAGGGGAUUUAAUUUAGUAAGAUGUGUUGCACACAUGUGCAUGUGGUGUAUGUGUUGUGGAUUGGCCAAAUAAAAGCUAUAGGUAUUGAAAGAAAAUAAGAGAAAAAAUUAUGGGGGGCCGAACAGACAAGGGUGCCGAAAUAGCCCCUUGAGAAAAUUAUAAUUGCCUUAAAAACUAAAAUUGUCGCCUUGCAUUUCAGAUUGGAAUUUUAGUUUUAAGUCAUUUAUAUGCUAUUCUUGCAUGUUUAGAAAAUUAAAUUAUUACUUAUAUAUUGACAGAAAAAUAUCAUAUAUCUUGAAUUCUGGAGAGCAAAAGCUACUCCCAAAAGCCAAAUCAAAGGUACCCUUAUUCUCAUGGGACUAUUUGCUAGAUGUAUUGAAUUCCCGCAAACUAAUUGCGUAUUUCCAUUUUGUACAGAUUGCAAUUUCAGUAAAGACACACAACACACAUGUACGAGUAAAGGUAAGCAAUUCAUGCAUACAACAUUGAUUUUCCAUUUAUCUUUUUUUUCAAUCUGAAAUGAACCUAUCUGACUACAGAGAAUACUAAAACUAUCUUUUAGGUGUCCACCUCCUAUGUUGACAGUGCCACCCUACUCCUCGGUGACUUCAGAUCUUGAUUGCCUGGCAGCGUCCUGGCCUGAUUGAGUGGCAAUGGUCACGUUGGCCUGCCGCUCUUAGGCCGAGGACAACAAGAAGAAAGGUGUGUCUGCCAACUGUUGUGGUGGUGUCCUGGGCUGAUUGAGUGUUGUCUGCUCCAGUCCAUUGACAUUGCCCCAAAAUCUAGCUAUGGAUGUGCAAAAUCAUCUCUCAUGUUCAGUGUUUCAGUACGACCUUGCAAUUUUUGUUGUUGUUUAUUUCAUAGCAGAUGGAGUUUAGAUUGGGUUCUUGUUAUUUUGUCUAUAGUUGUGUUUGAAUUUAGCCAAGCAAUUAAGAUCUGUACAUUCUUGACUAAGUUCCGAUAAUCUGAUGCAAGCUAAUAGAUUUUUGUUAGCAUGAUAGGUUCUUGGAAAAUCACACAAUGUGUAUUUUCUGAGCAAUAAUCAUGGCUAUUCUUACUAAGAUUUUGUACCUUUUGCCUUUCAAUAUUUUAGUCUAUCUAAUUGCAGUUUUAGAGCUGCACAUUGGAUUAGACAGAGGAGCAGAACAACAAUGAGGCAUCGGUGCGAGGGGACAACCAACAACCAGGAAGCUAGGGGUGCUUCCUCAGUCCUCACGCUGCCGAGUCGACUGCUGGUAAGUUCAUGUACCCUCCUGUCUUUGCCUUUUUCUCCCAUGGCCAUGGUGGAAUCUGCACUUUUAGCCAUGGCAAUGUGUUGCUUAUGCUGCUCUCGAAGUACUAGCAAAUAUUUUUCUUUUCAAAAUUGUGUUGAUGGAUUGUAUAUCUAUGGCAAUAAGAAAUAGCUAGAUUUUUUAACUAACACAUCCACCCAGCUGGUGUCCAGCAUUGUGAUGCUCCUGCAUCUUUGUGUCAUAGGCUCUAAUGAUGCAUUGGUGUCACGAAAAAUAGACCUAUUGCCUUCUGAUAUUUUGGUCCUAUUUAGAAUUUGUAGUAUGACCCGACUCCUAUGUUAAUAUAUGUUAGAUGUUUUAUGUUAUAAAUACAUACCUUGAUGAUUGUAAACCAUCAAUGAGAAUUUUGAUGCUUAUGCUGCUCUCGAAGUACUAGCAAAUAUUUUUCUUUUCAAAAUUGUGUUGAUGGAUUGUAUAUCUAUGGCAAUAAGAAAUAGCUAGAUUUUUUAACUAACACAUCCACCCAGCUGGUGUCCAGCAUUGUGAUGCUCCUGCAUCUUUGUGUCAUAGGCUCUAAUGAUGCAUUGGUGUCACGAAAAAUAGACCUAUUGCCUUCUGAUAUUUUGGUCCUAUUUAGAAUUUGUAGUAUGACCCGACUCCUAUGUUAAUAUAUGUUAGAUGUUUUAUGUUAUAAAUACAUACCUUGAUGAUUGUAAACCAUCAAUGAGAAUUUUUCAAGCCUUUUCCUGUGCUUAAUAUCUCAUGAAGUUUUUUCUUUCCUUGUAGGAUGGUUCAAUUUCAGAUGUCAUUGGCCUUAGAGCCCACUUAAAACAAGUCUGAUGAUGCCCUCUCAAACUUACAAACUAGACUUACUUGACCAUGUACGUUUAUGACUGUGCAUCUUAGAUUGCCUCAUAUAUUGUAUUAAUUCGAAGGUGAACUGAAUGACAUAUCUCUAAACAACCUUACGUGUUGAUGGUAGAUUUUUAAUCAUUGGUUUCUAAGGUGGUGCUUAGUAAAGUGAAGUAUAAGUUGUACUUGCAAGACAUUUGACCAUACAAAGUAUUUCAGUUACCCAUGACACUGCUUAAUCGAAGCUAUAAUGCAUAUAAGAUAUUUCUUUCACAGUAUUUUUUUUAAAACUUUCUUUCACAAUAUUGUUAUUUUAUCGUGCGACCCGUGUGUUUUUAGUAUAAAAUGUUAGUUAUCCCGUAGCAACGUACGGACACGCUACCUAGUACAUAUAUUAAGUACACAAUUUGUUCGCAUAAUACAGACCAACUGUCUUUGCAAUAAACAUGGGAGCGAGAGACUUAUAAUUUUUCAUGCACGUGCGGUGGUAUAUGCGGUGCGGCACACUUGAGCUUUGUGAGUUUCAUUGCGUCGAAAUCACCACGAAUUUUGGAGACUUGCAGAGCAGACUAUGCGCUAUGUUAUUCCUCGCAGAAAAGAAGAAGACUAUCCUAUGUUAGCCCCCCCUUUUUUUUUUUACGAAAACUAUGUUAGCCUUAAUUAAAUAGAUUGGAGUAUGCAUGGAAAUGCUUCUUUUGAGGAUUACUAGACUUUUACUAAAAUGGAUGGUGUUGUGCCCUACCAACAAGAAGGAUUUACUGAUGGAGUAGUAUAUCCACAAGAUCAAAUAUGCAGGCGGCAGGCAAGACCCUCUGGCUCCCUUUUGUGAACCGGCCUGAAGUUUCACAGAAGUGAGGUUGACGAGUCGAUUUGGAUGCCCAUGUAUCAUGAAGACCAAACUUUUUCUUGGCUAGAUGCAUCGUCCUGGUGGACACCUUUUGGCUUGUUAAACUGAUGUGCCAUAAGGAUUUAUGGUCUUUCGAUAUUGUGCCUUGUUUAGUGGUAUUUUUUUUUUACAAAAUAAACACUAUAGUAUUUUUGUUUAUAUUUAAACAAUAUUUUUUAAUCAUGGACUAACUAAGUCUAAAAGAUCCGUCUUAUAAAUUAUAGGUAAAUUUUAUUAUCUAUGUUUAAUGUUCAAUGCAUAUGUCGUAAGAUUUAAUAUGACGGAAAAUCUUAAAAAAUUUUGCAAAUUAUUUCUUGAGAAGUAAACAAGGCUUUAUUUGAAAGGUUGUUAGGGCGAAAUGCCCUUAAACUCUAAAUAGAUUGGAGUAAAAGAAAAAACGGGGUUAGAACGAGCACAACACUGCUAUACGAGACUAGGGCCUUGUUUAGUUCCGAAAAGUAAAAAAUUUUCGAUACUGUAGCACUUUCGUUUGUUUGUGACAAAUAUUAUCGAAUUAUGAAUUAACUAGGAUCAAAAGAUUCGUCUCGUGAUUUACAGCUAAACUGUGUAAUUAGUUUUUGUUUUCGUCUAUAUUUAAUGUUUCAUGCAUGUGCCACAAGAUUCGAUGUGACGAGGAAUCUUGAAAACUUUUUGAUUUUUAGAGUGAACUAAACAAGGUCUAGCUAGAAAAAUACUAAGAGAUCACCACUACGUACAUAGUAGGCCAGUCGUCCAUCGUGAAUGUACGGUGGUUGACAGUUUCGAUAGCUCAAGCGAACAGAGUCGUUACGUAUUCCAUCAGGCUGUGCUAGCGUCGACCGACAUGGGACUCUGUGGUGUGGGUCGCCGUUUCAUCCUGCUUCCUUUGCUCCCAACCAACUUCGUUGACCACCGGUUGGUUUGUUGAUGAUAUUCGCACGCGGCGUGGCGUCGGCAACGGGACACGUACCAUUGCGGUCACAAUGUUGACCACACGACGACAUGACUGUCUACUUUCGUGUUCCUGUUCAGGCCUCGUUUAGUUGUGAAAAUUUUUCGGAUUUUGACAAUAUACUACUUUCGUUUGUUUGUGGUAAAUAUUGUCUAAUCAUAGAGUAAUUUAGAUCAAAAGAUUCGUCUCGUGAUUUAUAGGCAAAUUGUUUAAUUAGUUUUUAUUUUCGUCUAUAUUUAAUGCUCCAUACAUGCGCCGCAAGAUUCGAUAUGACGAGGAAUCUUAAAAUGUUUUUGGUUUUUUUGGUAAACUAAACAAGGCUAAGGGUCACUCCGGCAGCUAAAAUUUGUCAGCCACAGACAAAAGCCUGUUGUAUAGUUGCUCGCCUCGUGACGCAGCCACCACAGUUUCUACAAUAUGCACCGUUCCGGGGCUGGUGUGGCGGCUAAAAUGCUCACCACACAAUGUGGCGCGUGCGGGCUCCGCUCUUGUGGCAGGGUACGGCUAGCGUUCAAACAUUUCCUUGUUAAAUUUAUCAUAAAAACCAAACAAAAUUUAAGAUUCUUUGUUAAAUCGAAUCUUGCGAUACAUGUAUAAAAUAUUAAAUAUAGAUAAAAAUAAAAACUAAUUGCAUAGUUUGUUUGUAAAUCACGAGAUAAAUUUUUUGAGCCUAGUUAAUUCAUAAUUGGAUAAUAAUUACUAAAUAAAAACAAAAGUGCUAUAUAAUGCUCCAAAACCCGAAUUUUUUGAACUAAACAAGGCCUACGGAAAUCGCCACCGGAAUGUGCCUUGUGCAACACGGCACGUACGUAUCACGUAGUAUGCCUACACACCGAGAAUCGUACGUACUACUGUAGUAGACUCUGCAACAACGGUCCAAGAAAAUUGGACGUACUACACUGCGCACAUGCACGACACGUGCUAUCGGAAAGCGUACGAGUCCAAAACCGAUAAUACAUAAGGGCCCGAGUGUAAAUUCAGCUGGGAGCUACCGACGGCUGCACGGCAAGGAUGUGCAGUUGUGUGUUGUGUAAUGGCAACAGCCACCCAACACCAAACCAUAUUUAAUCUACUGCUGUCGUUACUAUUUGCAUCAUCCCGCGUCACACGCCUGUGUCCACAUCCUGCUCCAUGAAAAAUUUAUUUGAAUUUAGGUCUUGUUUAGAUCUUAAAAGUUUUUUGAAUUUUCACACUAUAGCACUUUUGUUUUUAUUUGACAAACAUUAUUCAAUCAUAAAGCAGUAACUAGGCUUAAACGAUUCGUCUCGCGAUUUACAGAUAAAUUGUGUAAUUAGUUUUUAUUUUUCAUCUAUAUUUAAUGUUUCAUGCAUAUGCUGUGAGAUUUGAUGUGAAGAGAAAUCUUAAAAAGUUUUUGGUUUUUAGAUGAAUAACAAGCCCUUAAACCUCACAGUGAUAUACAGCCACAUGCCCACAUCUGUCACUGUCACCACUGAUGACCUGUUUGGAACAAAGAAUUUUCGGAGGAAUUUUGGAGUCCCUAGUUCCUUUGGAAACGAUCAGGUGAAUGAAUCACAAAUGCACGGGGAAAACUGCAAACGAACCUUGAUUUGUCUGCCACUAGUCGUCGAUCGUGCAUUUGAAUGUUGAAACACGCGAAAUGUUUUCCCGUGUUGCCUUGCCUUGAUGAGGCAUUGUUUAGGCCUUGUUUAGUUCCAAAAUAUUUUGCAAAAUGGACACUGUAGCUUUUUCGUUUGUAUUUGACAAAUAUUGUCCAAUCAUGGACUAACUAGGCUCAAAAGAUUUGUCUCGUCAAUUCCGACCAAACUGUGCAAUUAGUUUUUAUUUUUAUCUAUAUUUAGUACUUCAUGCAUGUGUCUAAAGAUUCGAUGUGACGGGGAAUCUGAAAAAUUUUGCAAAUUUUUUUGAGAACUAAACAAGGCCUAGUUCGAAAAAAAUUUCAAGAUUCUCCGUCACAUCAAAUCUUUGAUCGUAUGCAUUGAGCAUUAAAUAUAGACGAAAAUAAAAACUAAUUGCACAGUUUACCUGUAAUUUGUGAGAUGAAUCUUUUGAGCCUAGUUACUCCAUAAUUGGACAAUGUUUGUUAAAUAAAAACCGAAAGUGCUACAGUAGCCAAAAACUGAAAUUUUUGCAAACUAAACAAGGCCGAAGCUUCCACUGCAAGAAGUGACCUACCCUUACCCUUCAUUCCAAUUGUACCAUACAUUCAAAGUUCCACACAUGCCAAUUGGAAAAAGACAUACAAUCUCUCCUAGUAUGUCCCAAACAAAAAAGAAAAUGCAUUACGUUGGCCCUAAUACAAGUUAGUAUAUUUUUACAUGAAAGUGACAUCCUUGUUUAGUAGGUAAAUUUUUUUGGAUUUUGAUACUGCCACUUUCGGUUGUAUUUGAUAAUUAUUGUCCAACUAUUGACUAACUAGGUUCAAAAAAUCGUCUCGCAAAUUACAGACAAACUGUACAAUUAGUUAUUUUUUAUCUAUAUUUAAUAUUUUAUGUACGGGUUCAAAGACUCGAUGUGACAGAGAAUUUUGAAAAAAUUUUGGAACUAAACAAGGCAAAAAAAAAAGAAAUUGGUUGGCACGGUCAAUAUUGAUAAUGACAUCUCACCUCUCUUGCUUUGCGAACCCACACGUUUGUACACCCCCGAGAUAGAUAAACAAUGCAAAAGAACUCGUGCGUAACAAAACAAUGACCCCACUGUCAGUUGGAGUCGGAAGCAAGAUAUUUCAUGAAAGGUCCUUCACAACCCUUGCUUUAUUUUAAUCUAUCUACUACUCCAGUAAUAGCUCACUAGUCACUACCACCCACACACACAGAUACAUACAUACAGAGCCACAUCAUGCAUAGUAUAGGUCCAGCAGUGUCACAAUCUCCAUCAAAAUCAAUUCUUUUUCAGAGACAAAUUUCCAUAUUACACUAACCACUGCCACUUUUCAUAGGUCACCCUUGUACCACAUCACCACACUAGUUACAGGCCGAGCUGAGUAGUGCAACCACACACCGUCCUUGCUCUCACACGGUUGAGCCAUUGAGCUGCGUCAAGGCGAACCCAUGGCGACGCCGCCGGAGGAACCGCUGCCGCUGCCGCUGCCGCUGCCAAAGCCGCCAGAGCCAAAGCCGCCGAAGCCCAAGCCGAAGGGGCCGGACGAUCCCGAGCCAGAGCCGCCGAAGCCCAAGCCAGUAGGGCCGUUGCCUCAGCGGGACGGGGUCGGGGACCCCGGCAGCGGCGUCGUCGCCACGUCCCCGCCGGCGGACCUCCUCUGCGCCGACACCUGCUCCGGCGCAUGCGCGUACUUACCGCACUGCCAGCCGCCGCCUCCCGCAUCGUCGUCGCGCGGGACCACCUUGCACCUCCGCUCGAGCCGGCUGCCGACACCGCUCAUCGCGCUCUCGGCGUCGCUCCUCGCCGUCUCCGCGGUCCUCCUGCUCGCGCUGCUCGUCCACCGCCUCGUGGCUCGGCGGAGGCGGGCGCGGAACGCGGCGCUGGUGGCUCACCACGGUCACGGCGAGGAGGGUGGUGGCCACCAGGUGCUGGCUGGCGCGGUGGCGGGCGGCGGCGGCGAGGAGGAGGACGAGGAGGAGGCCGACGGCGGCGGCGGCGGCGUGCACCACGUGUGGUAUAUACGGACCAAGGGCCUCGACGAGCGCGCUAUAGCGGCCAUCGCCGCGGUGGUGUACGACGCCAAGCAGCGCGGCGCCCUCGGCCUCGGCGGCCACGGAGGGACCGACGGCGACGGCGACGGCGGCAGCUGCGCGGUGUGCCUCGCGGAGUUCCGGGACGGCGAGACGCUGCGCCUGCUGCCGCGGUGCGGCCACGCGUUCCACCGCGGGUGCAUCGACACCUGGCUCCGCGCCCACGUCAACUGCCCGCUCUGCCGCGCGCCCGUCCAGGUCUCCCUCGCCGCCGCUGCCGACAAUCCUAACGCCGCGCCGGGCGCGCCCACGGCCACGUCGGGGGGCCGACAGCGGCAGGAGAGGAAUCUUGUUGGCGCCGCCGUCGGUGCCGUUCAGGCGACAGAGGAGACCGCGCGCGGCGGCGUGCCAGACCGCGCCGUCAGGCGGGCCGCGUCCAUGGUGGCGCUGCCGCGGCGGGCGUGGCCGGACGUCUCGCUGCGGGCGCCGGCGUCGAGCAGCGGCCGCGAGGAGGACAUGACGGGGCUCGGCAAGAUCAGCCGGCUUCUCAAGUUCUCGGACGCGCUGGAGAUGGCCGGAAUCGGGGUCGAGCGGUCGGUCUCGUUUGGCGCCGGGAGCUGCCAGCGCUUGCCGACAAGGUCGGGGCCCUCGGCCGCCGCCGCCGGCGUCAGCGCUGACGAGACGUCACAGUGAACUCGUUGAUGCCGAGUUGCCGACGAUGAGGCGAUUGGGUAAAAAUUGCAGCUUUGGGAGUUGGGAGCUUGGAGGGGUGAAGGUUGGUGUUUGGUUUUUUGCGAAAGUUUUGUGUGCCACAUGAUGGGAAGAUAAAAGUGUCAUCUUUCCAAGUUUCGUGUAUAAUCAAUCACAAGUAACUCGUGAGUUUGUGCAUAUACUUGGGAGCGUCAGAAAUUGUAAAUAAGAAUUCCUGACAAACAAGUUUAAGUUUUGUAUGCGAAAUCACAGUACGCAUACAUGUGUAAGAUAUAACAUAUCACUUCUGUUCGUUCAGUACUUGUUCGUUUGGCUGAUAAGACUGAUUUGUUGUGAGAAAAGAAUACUGUUGAAUGACUGAUUAAUUCGGCUGAUAAGUUCAAGCGAACAAUGAGACAUUUGUUGCUAAAAUUUGGCCGCCUGAUCUCUAGUUUCUCUGUAUCCAUCAUGACCCACAAUGACCUUUAUUUAAAGUCUUGUAUGUCUAUGAUCUUUAAGCUGCUGCUGCCUGCAGGAAUAAGGACCAAACAUCAGUCUCAAAUUCUCAAUAUAGUUGAGAUUCAGGUGAAGAGUCUUCACACACAAUUGGCCACAUAAACUUUGAAGGAGUGAAUAACUUGUGGAUCAUGCCAAUUGCCAGCUAAGGAAUUUGUUCUGUUCCCAUCCCAAUCCAGAAUGAAUGGAUGCUUGCUAUCCCAAAUCCCAACCCCAUUCACCAAAAGUAAAACCCGAGCAUUGCCUUGCACCUGAAGGCCUUGUUAAAUUUGCCUGCCGAGGUCAGGAUUCUGGACAAGCCAUCUCACCUGCCCUUGCUUGCCAUGUCUCUGUCAGGGCACUAACACCUCAUUAAAAACGAUGCUUCUGUUUGAAACGCUAAUGGUGUGAGGUUAAAGUAGGCAGGGUUGGCAGUUCUGCCCGGUCGCCUCUCAAGGCAGUGUGACAUCAAUUGUUUGGACCGGGCGGUUGUUGCAGGUCGUUGUUGGUCAUCAAAUGCGAUGUGGAUACUGCAGUGUGCCUCUGCUGCUGUCUGUGUGUGAAGCUUCCAGGAUAGAGUAAUCACCUUGAACUUUUUGGCGUCGGGGGUGCAGAAAUGACAUUCUCUUUUUUUUUGGUAUACCUCUGACGAUUCUUGUAGGGCCUUGUUUAGUUCCGAAAAGAUUUCGGUACUGUAGUAUUUUCGUUUUUAUUUGACAAAUAUUAUUCAAUUAUAGACUAACUAGGCUCAAAAGAUUCAUCUCGUGAUUUAAAAGCAAACUGUGUAAUUAAUUUUUGUUUUCAUCUAUAUUUAAUGCUUCAUGCAUGUACCGCAAAAUUCGAUGUGAUGAAAAAUCUUGAAAACUUUUUAAAUUUCGGUGGAAACUAAACUGGCCUAGGUUCAUAUCAGGAUAAGGUCAUGCACACCGGCACACCGCACAUCUUGACCCUUUUGAGAUGUCCGUUCUUGAAGCAACCUUUUGGUCUCACUGCUUCAGAUCAUUCAAAUGUAUCGUCUGUCUGAGCGUAGGGGUAGCGAACAAAGGUGACACCUUUGAGUUCAGCAAACAUAUCAUCGUAGAACAAGAAAGCGACACAAACCGAGCAUAGUGUCACAACUCACAACACAAAAGAUAUCUGCAUUUUUCAAAUAUUUUUUGUACAGAUUUAAUACACAUACAUAUUGAAUUGUUUUCGCAUACAAAAUAAAUUGUUUCUGAACUCUCUAUAUUGGACUCUUGAGACAAUCUCCUUGCAAUUCAUAAGUGCAGCAUGAAGAAACAUUGUUACAGAUGACUAUCACUUGCGGCCAUCAACUUACAAAACUUUGACAACAUACCCUUUUUACUACAGACAUGACAGGGCUCAAUGCCUUUUGCUGUAUAGUUGUCCUUGAGAAAAUAAUGAAGUCGACCUAGAAGUCCAAAAAUUUUUCAAUCUCUGAAGCAAAAUUGCAGUAGAGUUGAUCAGUCAGGGCUGAACAUAAAUCUAUCUCAACGCGGCAACAUUGCCAAGAUGUCUUCUUUGUGCUGCAUACAGUAGUACACCAAAAUUGCAAGAAUAAUAACUAGUAGCAUGGGCCAUAUGCUUGUUCCUGUCAUGACACAACCAUCCAUUUUUAGUAUAGGGCUUGCGGUUAGUGGCUGGAAAAAACAAAUCUAUGAAUUAAAGAUGCAACAUACCAUUACUCUUCGGGGACCCAACAGAUGUCACCCUUGCAGAAGAGUCAAAGGAAGUUGACAGCAAUGUUCUGAAAUGAUAUAAAGCAACUACAUUGAGAAAUUGCAUUUUUUUUUCUUUAGAUUCGUCAACUCGAAGUUCAAGAUAAUAACCUUGAAUCCUGGGAGAAGGCCAGUGUAGUAACAAUACCAAGAUGAGCCUUUUUAACUGUUACAAGUGUCCGCAUGUCUUUUGAGCUCAGUAUGAUGAUGCUUCCUUCAAUUGUUCCACUAGAAACCGAAGGCAGACAAAUAAAAUUUUCAAGAAAAUAAGCAAUGGUAUCUCUACAAGAUUAUUAAGAAAUAAGACCAAGGGGAUCUUUCCAAUCUCACAUUCCAAGAAGAGCGCCGUUGGGUGACACAGCAAAAGCUGAAAUGGCCUCACGAGUUAUUUUCUUUGAACCGAUUCUCGUCCAUGAGGUAGUAUUCCAAGAUACUAUUUUUCCAUAAUCACCUAAAAAGCAAUAUUAUUCAGGUAUUGUCAGACCUUAAGCUUGCUGUCUAGUUCAAUUUGUAACUAGGUCAAGUACUCAAGUUCAUCUUAAUGCCAACCUUGCAUCACUGUUAUAAAUAGGACAUGACUGUUGUCAGUCUUAUUACAGAAUCUGCAGAAUCCAAAUAUUUCCCCCUGAAAAUGUACAGAUCAAAACUCUCUUGAAACAAGACAAAAUCAUUAAAAUAAUGCAUUUCGUCCAAGAAAGGAACUCACUGCUUCUCUUGACAGACUGGCUACAACUUCAGAUGACUGCAGAUCCCAAACUCUACAUGGCCCGCUGCUCCUAUUCACAGCAAGAAACUUCUCAUCGGAACUGAAAGCAUGGACCAAAGCAGAGGAACCCAUCAGUAUCGUGCAAACAAUAUUCAAGUGGGAAGAGUUUAGUGAUCAUUUAUUUACCUGAUGGUAAGAUCCUUAAUCGAUGUUUUAGUAUCAGUUUCUGUGAGAACAGACCCCAUAGCAGGCCACUUGAAGACUCUUAAAUGCCCAUCCUACAAAAGGAAAGAAAGAAAUGAACAUGUCAAUAACCAUAAGAUUUCAGUGCCAUAACAGAAAGACCAAGAGAACCAGGAAAAUCACAUAUGAACCAUGACAAAACCUCAAAGCACAAAUGCAAGACCAUACUGAAAAGUUAUCUACUUAAAUGGAGGCAAACCAGAUUUGUCUUUUUAUUAUAAUGUAAAGCAAGAAUAAAUAUAAGUGCUCAAAGACUGUUCUGCCAGAAGGAAAUGACUAUUAAGAAGUCAACAAUGGAUAAAACCUAUUGAAACUGAUAAGCACAUCUUUGGUUUUAACGGUAAAUUAAGGUGAUGGCACAAACAUGUAUAAAACAAGAACAUAUCAUAAAAAGUGCAUCUCAAGAACUACUUAAUGUGGAUAGCUGGUCCUAGAUCCCUAUGUCCUUGGUUGUCUGAGGCGGCUGGUCGUGUUUCCCCAGUAUAUUUUCUAGAGUGUUGUUUUUUCUAAACCCCGUGGGGAUGCCUGGGAGGGGGUUUCUUACUUCCCUCCCUUGUGUCAUUUUAUUCUUCUUAAUGAAAUGGCAUGCAGCUCUCGCACGUAAUUCAAGGGGGAAAAAGAACUACUUAAUGUUGUUUGAUAUCUCCAUAUGUAAAGACAUAAAGUAAAAAAUAAUUUCAUUCAAAACUACACUGGCUGUACUUUCUAGCCAAAGAUUUCUGUACCAUGUCGACCAUGAAACAAGAAUCCCUUUGCCCAACAUAAACAAUAUACACCAACCUUAGGUACUCAGUAUCAGAAUCCCCCAUACAUAAUAUUGUAGCAAAUGAUUAUUAAGUUGACAAAAUGAGCAAAUUGUUUGGCUACAUUAGUCGGUACUAACAAAUGUUGCUUAUGAUGACCAUAGUCUAUACAAUUUUUCUGCAUGAAGCAAUGAAAGAUAAUAUUUUUAGUACACCUAGAAAUUACUAAGCUAACAUAUCUUUCUAAGGCAUUUUUUUCCAUUUAUGAUGUCAGACUCAGAAGAACAAAUAAAGUUGAAAGUUACUUAAAUGCAUUCCAAACUAGGUACUCGAAGUGCCUAUAGUUUUCCCUAUGGAAAAUGUCAAAUAGGAAAGGAAAUAAAAAGAAGGUAAAUACUAAACCUACCGAGAGUUACAAAAAGUAAAAUGCAAUGGAAAAGUACGCCAUAUGUUAACUUACCUCACCACCAAUGGCAAGUAUUGAACCUUCUCCACUGAAGGAUACGGCCAACUGCAAACCAACAUCUUUCAGCUCCGCUAAAGCUUCCUGGUCUGGCUCCAAGGCCAGGUUCUGUGGUCCCUCUCCUUCCUGUGAUUCCCAUCGGUACAACCUACAUGAGUGUUUUCGUAGUUAAAAAUUAUGAAAAAAAACAAACUUUUCAGCCAAGUUCAAUUAUUUAUUGUUCACAGGAAUACAAAACAAUGCAGCAUUAUCUUGUUGUAGAAUAUAAGAUGAUGGCAAAGCAUAUAAGGUACAUUUUGUAGCUGAUACUUUCUGAACCAGAAACACAUCUAUACUAACAAGUAACAACUAAGAAAUCUCAAAGUAUACUUCAUGUUAGACCACAAAAACCAGAUUGUAAGGGAUUUAAUUACUCCUACUAAGGAAACAGAAAAUAAUCAAGCACGCCCAAAAUACCACCUUUUACUAGCAAGUAUCAACAGUAGAUAAGCUAUCUUCUUGAAUAUCAUGGCUUCGGCUACUAUAUACAAGACAAUUCACAAAUACCUUCGCUUCAGGUCAUGUCACUUGUUACUAGCAAGAUUCCACAUUAGAUGUUAUCUUCGCAGAUGGAGUAGUUUAUAUUGAAUACCACCCAUUAUCUAGACUAGACAAUGAAUGGAGGCGACAAAUGACAUUCGGAUCAUUUGUGCAUAUCAGAAUACAGAACCAACCAAUACAUUAGCACGCAGCGCAGGGUACAAACCCAAAGGAUAUGAUCCGAGGGGGUGAGGGUGCAUACCUGCAGCCGUUGGGGAAAGCGCAGAACACGCCAUCGCCGCGCGGGUGUACAGCCAUUCUGUACGGCACCUCCUCUUGGGUCUUCACCUCAAGCACCUGCCCACCACCACGGAAUGCCGAAAUCAGCACGAGACACUGAGCCCCACCCUAGAUCGGAGCGGGAUCUGGGAGGACGGAUCGCUCACCGUCUCGGGGGAAAGGGCGGCCGGCGCGGCGGCCUCUUCCCCGGCGGCGAGGGCCGCCACCACGAGCUUGUUCGGCACCCCGCUCCGGCCCUCCCCGCCGCCGCCCCCGAGGACAGCCAUAGGGGGCGGGGGAGAGGAGGGGGAGGAGGAGGCAGCAUCCGCGUCCGCGUCCGCGUCCGCCUCGGCGGCGGGAGGGUCGGGCUUGAGGAUGUGGGCGAGCGGGAGCCAGGCGGCGCAGUAGAUCGGGAAGCCGUAGGACUGGCUACCGCCGCCGCCGCGAGUCGCCAUCGCGCGGAGAAAGGUGGGGGUGAGGAGCGCCCGGGUGCCGGAGGGGAGGUGGGCCGGUGGCGGUCGCAGUCGCGGUGGCCGCCGGUGGGGACGCGCGGCGGACGGUGGAGGGGAGAGCGUGGCUGGUGACGGGAAUAUUAACGCGGCUGUGUAAAGUUCCGUUUGGGUGGGUUGACCACUUGACCUCGAGAAGAGAUGGGUUUUCUUCGCUUCAAAGUUGGGCCGUAUAAUCGAGGAUCUUUUGGUCAAAACUAUAAAAAAAAAUGUAAGAAGGGACGGUAUGAUUCGUAUAAUCGAGUUUUGUUGUAAUAAAAAAAAAUUAUAAUGUACUAGGAUCAUCAACCUGUCAUGUAUACUGGUGAGGUGUACAGAUUCUCUAUAAAUCACCUAUUUUAUUAUUAAGUAGUGCACCACACAUUCAUGUUACUUCAUCAAUGUUUAAUCUCUCUCUCAUUUAUUUUUUCAUAAAAUAUAACUUUUUUUCUUAUGCUACGGCAAGAAGCAUAAAUUGUUGAAAUUUGACUGCACAAAGAUGAGAGAUUUUACAAGUUGACACAUUUUAGCCUUGUCUUGCCUACCACUUCUGCACCCUGUAGGUGCUCUUGCACCAUUGCCACUCUUGCUCCCACACACCUCCACAAAAUGGGGACCGCCAUAGCCACCGCUCCCAUUGCCAUCCUAAGUCCAGGGGCGCAAGUGAUAUUGAUUGACUAAUCCCAGCUUAUCCUCAUAAAUGUCUAUAGUUGAUGGUUGCCGCAUUGUGUCUAUGGUGAUCGGUGAAGACAUCUUUCUUUUGUCGUGGAGAUGUUCACCUCGUUUUUACCUAUUUGCAUGGUCGGGCUCCUAGUCACGUUGUUGGUCCUCGUCUGUUGUCUAUUAUGUUGGGCAUUUCCUCUUUUCUUGACCUCUACCUCCACCGUUAUCAUAGAGUCCCUCCUCAUCCUUUGUAGGGACACUAGGACAUGGACCAUAUGUUUAUCAUUAGGCUUAUAAUAGAUGUAUUUGUAUGGUAAAUGUAUGAGUACAUCUUUUUUUUUUUAGGAAACUGAAAGGGCCAAGGCUUCUACGUAUGAGACCUCUAUCUAAAUUAAUGUGUGGAGAAUUUUUCAAACUCGUUUUUAUUCGCAAAAUGCACUUGUGCCACUCUGUUUGCUUGAGCUUAUCUGCUGAAUCUGCCAGCCAUUCAGCAGUAUUUUUCUCUUAUAAUAAAUCAGCGAACAACACUUUCAGUAAUGACUUUUCAAACAAACGAACAAGCUUGAACCAAGUGGCAUGAUCGUGGGCAGCGCGUGCGCUCGGUAAACAGUUUUUUUUUCAUUCUCACUAGUACUUUGAGCCUUCAUGAUAUGCCAAUGCUUUUGACGGCAUUAAAAAAGGGUAUAUGGAUUUAUUACAAUGUACAUACAUAUUUACUAGUAAUAAAUACUUAUAAACGUAAGAAAGUGCAUGUGUACAUGAUUUGUGCGUGAAAAAGUUCUUGCUUUGAAAAUUUAUUUUGCACGACAAUAGUUUGACGUUAAUUUCAUCCAACUAGUCAGAUCGGACGGUUGACAUUCACUGUUGCAAUCGCAAAAGUCCAUACGGCCCGGCCGCCCCCAAACAAAACCUCACCCUUCUCUUAUCCGCCGCAACGGCCGCCCGCCGGCCACCACCUCCACACCCCCCCUCACCGGCGAGAUGCUGACCUGCGGCCGCUUCAUCUCCUCCUCCGCUGCUACCAGCACCGCAUCCUUCUCGCCGUUUCGGACUCUCACCCGCUCCCUCCUUCGCCGCCCCGCUCCCCGCCUCCUCUCCUCUGCCUCCGCCGCCGCCGCCGCCGCCACCGCCGUCGAACCCGACACCAAAGGUAAUAGAUUUAACCUUCACUCUUCAUCUCAACGACGUACAGUUAUCUAAGCUUCCGUUUUUCCUUUCAGGCGGCGGUGGCGCGGGAGGUGCUGCUGCUGCGGUGAGGCCGCAGUGGAAGGCGGCGAUUGAUUUCAAAUGGAUCCGGGAUAACAGGGACGCCGUGGCCGACAAUAUCCGGAGCCGGAACUCCACCGCCAAUCUGGACCUCGUCCUCGAGCUCUACGACCAAUACCUCGCACUGCAGAAGGUCUGGGGCUUGCCAAUGCCGGAGCUUUUUGUUGAAGCUGUUUUUGCUGUCUGACUGUGCUGCGCUAGAUUCGUUGAUGAUAAGCUUGCGCUGUAUAGGGUCAGGUUCUAGUGCGUGGAUUUUGACUUGUGCGGCCCAGGGGUAUGUACUAGAUGGUUGCUCUUUGCUAGGAUUUUCCUCUGAGCUUAUAUUUGAACUGUAGUUUUAGAUGUCCUAUAAUAUGACUGAUGAACUGGCACGGUUUUAUUUCAUUAAGUAUCUAGUUGGCGUGGCUGUUGCGUCUCCUGUAUUUGUCUUGGCAACAGAAGUUUGAAACAGAACUCAAAAGGCUGAACAUGGAUCAGGAAUUCAGGAUAGGAUAUUUGUAAUAUGAUUCAGGUUCUUUUGUCCAUUGAAUUUCCAUUCAAUCAUACAACACCUGAGUUGCAUGCAGAUCCAAUGUUCACAAAAAAUGACUUACAGUACAUUUGAAGAAAUCAAUUGCCCAUGAAAGUCAAAUCUACGAAUUCAUACAGACCCUGUACUUUUUAUGGAGCUCUCUUUCAGAUAUACCUUGUUCUGCAUUACAUUCGGCAACUAUUGAAUUGCAGUGAACGUGUAUAUAUUCUUUCAAUCUUUAGUUGGUUUUGGUUGGCCUUUAACUGUUUUCAGACUGUGCUCUUAGCAAUUUAUCAUUCAUGAUAACAAAGCUAAGUUGCAAAUUUUUUAUGAUCCUUAUGAUUCUUGUUCAUGUGGUGCACACCUGCCCCUUUAAAUGGUUCAUUCUAAACUGCUUAAGACAUGUGCGAUAGUUAGAUACAGUAGCUGUCUAUAUAUGCACUUGAUGAACACAAUUUAUUCAGUUCCAGAAUGUAAUAUGGUGGUAACAGAACGAUGGCAACAAUUCCUAAUUAUGACAGAUGGCAGGAGGUUGAACGGCUCCGAGCUGAAAGAAAUGCAGUUGCUAACAAGAUGAAAGGGAAACUAGACCCAUCUGUACGCCAAGCCCUUGUCGAAGAAGGUAGAAUGAGUAGUUUAUUCAAGCAUGGAGAUAAGGAUUUACCACUAUAUUUGUUUUAACCAUUUUGAGUUACUACAGGUAAGAACCUGAAAGAGGGGCUUAUAGCACUUGAGGAGGAUCUUGUUCAGCUGACAGAUAAGCUUCAACUUGAAGCUCAAAGUAUUCCUAACACUACCCAUCCCGAUGUUCCUGUUGGGGGUGAGGAAAGCUCUGUCCUCAGGAAAGAGGUAAGUGUUGUUUUAUACUUCCUGCUGCCUUUCUACUUUGUACAUUUGAUAAUUUAUUUUGAUUGAACUGUGUAGGUAGGCAGUCAGAGGAGCUUUAAUUUUACAAUCAAAGAUCAUCUUCAGCUGGGGAAGGAACUUGAUUUGUUUGACUUUGAUGCAGCAGCCGAGGUAUUAAUUGCGACAACUUUCACUAACACUAUAUACAUUUUAUGUUUGGCAACACACUGCAGCAAGUUGUUCAGUAAGAUAUUUCGGAUACACCUAAAAAUUCAAACUGCAUGAUGUCAAGUAAAUAAAAAACUCGACCAUGGAUGACGUCAAUUAAAUAGAUCUAAAAUUCUCUGAAAACUUAUCUAAGUAAAUUUGCCUUGUCUUAGUGAAAGGGUCUGUAGUCUAGUGGCACAAUAACCUUAGUAACCUGGGUGUGACUCCCCUGUGGGAGUGAAUUUAAACAGGCUUGGGUUAGAAAUACCCUUUGUUGGCUGUGUUCCUGAGCUAUAUGUGUAACCAUUUGAGUCGUUUUCAGUGAGAUACAAAAUGGCCACAGACAUGUGUCCUGGGCGCUCAGUGGCAUGUCCAAGGCAGCCGACCUUUGGGGUGUUUUUACACCUAUGUUUGUUCUUAAUGCAAUGCCGUGGGGGUUUCCCUCAUGUAUCGAUUUUUUGCUUUUAAGUUUCUAUAUAAGUAGAUUUGUUAUUUAGUAUUUGUAAUAAAUGUUUGUACUGUGUUGCACAGGUCAGUGGUUCGAAGUUCUACUACUUAAAGAAUGAAGCUGUUUUGUUGGAGAUGGCCCUAGUGAAUUGGGCUAUUUCAGAGGUCUCCAAGAAGGGUUUCACACCACUCAUAACUCCAGAGAUUGUAAGAUCAUCUGUUGUUGAGAAAUGUGGCUUCCAGCCAAGGGCUCAAAACACUCAGGUAUGAACUCUCCUGGUAAGGAUGGUAUUUAACAUUUAGUUAUUUUGUAUCAUAAAAUACAUGAUAAUAGCCAUUUUAACACAUUCUUUGGUCUAGUGACUUGUUUUUAUUCUUACAUUAUGUUUGCAUUAUCAGCUAUUUGGUAUUUUGGAUUAGACCCUGGAAUCACAACAUAGUUUCUGUUUUGGGCAUUGAUGGAGUCGUUGAAACAUAAUGCUAGCCACUAUUUCUAUUUUAAUAUAUGUAUUAAAAAUGACGGUGAAGUUAUAUUAUUAUGAAAAUGAAAUUACCAUUUGAGAUAAAUAUAUUCAUAUAAUCCAAAAAGAUAUCAUACCCAAAUUUUAGAAAAUUUGACCACAUGCGACCCAAAAAUUUCAACCUUGCCUGACUAAAAUAUUUGAUUGCCCGUGAUACGUUGCUGUGGUAUUAUAUGCUGUUCCAUUUAACCAUUUCAGUUCCUUCUAGGUUCCAGAUACAUUUUUAGGUGUUAUUGUUUGACGUGUACUAACAUGAUUGCUUGCACUUUGCUCUGCAGGUCUACUCAAUUGAGGACAGUGAUCAGUGUCUCAUAGGCACUGCUGAAAUUCCUGUUGGAGGCAUCCACAUGGACUCAAUACUUGCUGAAUCUGCUUUGCCUUUAAAAUAUGUAGCAUAUUCACACUGUUUUCGCACGGAAGCUGGUGCAGCAGGUGCUGCCACUAGGUUGGUCUGUUCUCCUUUUACCUUAGGUUACUGUUUUGCUUAUUGAUUUAUGAUGAAGAUUUACCAUUGUACGAGUGUAUAUUUGCUUCUAUUUUUCGGAUGCUUCAAAACUGUGAUAAAAGCAAAUUUUCACAUCCUCUGCAUUGCGAUUAAUUUUACAGUGUGUUUGUUAAGUUGCUAAAUUUAUCAUUUUAUUAUGAACAGGGGCCUCUAUCGGGUACAUCAAUUUAGCAAGGUUGAAAUGUUCAUAUUCUGUCGGCCAGAUGAAAGUGACAAAUUGCAUGAAGAACUUAUUACAAUCGAAGAGGAUCUUUAUGCAUCACUCGGACUCCAUUUCAAGUGCUUCCUAUUCCUUUUAAUUUCUGUGCCAUGCCCAUUUUUGAGACGAAAUUCCAUGCCACAGCUGUACUAAUGCCAGUGCCAACGUUCCCCUUUUAUAGAACUCUGGAUAUGGCAACCGGGGAUCUGGGCGCACCAGCCUACCGAAAAUUUGACAUCGAGGCAUGGAUGCCAGGCCUAGAGCGAUACGGUGAGGUAAGGGGCAAGUUUACCAAGCUUGUAUACGUCUUCUCAACAUUUCCUUGAAUCAUGCUGAUGAUUCCUGAUCAAACUUUGCAGAUCUCCAGUGCAUCAAAUUGUACAGACUACCAAAGUAGGCGACUUGGCAUCCGUUACCGUCCAUCACCCUCGGAGCCUCCGUCAACGAACACCAAGAAAGGGAAGGGAGCUGGCUCAGGCCCUACACAGUUUGUUCACACGCUCAACGCAACAGCAGUGGCGGUGCCUCGUCUGAUAGUCUGCAUUCUAGAGAAUUUUCAGCAGGACGAUGGGUCGAUUGUGGUUCCAGAGCCACUAAGACCCUAUAUGGGUGGACUUGAGGUGAUCUCCCCAAAAUUCGAGUGACCCUCUACAGUCACCCACGGUUGUGCUUGUGGACUUAGAGCUGUCUACAAAUAUACACUACUGAGUUUUGUGAUUGGGGCUCCUGUUUCAUAACUAGUCUUAUCCCCCCCCCCUGUUUUUGAAUAGCACUCUAAUCUGCUGGUGCACAUUAUAUUGGCCAACUACUGUAAUCUGCAUAGCACUACAAACUCAUGUGCAUGAUUUAGCUUUGAGUAAAUUGCACUAUAGGUCCUUAAACUUUCGAUGAACUCCCAUCUAGGUCCUCGAACUAAAAAAGAUAUCAUCUGGGACCUGAAACAAUCUAUCUUUCGCACCAAUGAUCCAAACCAUGCCACGUGCGCGUCGUGAGCUGACGUGGACAUGCCACUAUGAAGACAAGACUCUGGAGACUCGGGCCUGUUGCCCACUUUGCAAGGCUCCAUCUCUCUAUCUCACUCCUAAGCUCUCGUCUCUCCUCCUGUGCGUGCAGGAGGCUGUCAGUUUGGGCUCUGAUGCGGAAGCGUGCUGGCCACCCGCUGCCGUGCUCUACUCGGGCCUACCAGAACACACAAGUGGCAGAGUUUGUGGCCGCAGCUGCUGGCUUCGCAGUGGUGGCUUGAAGUGCUUGUGGUCAAAGUUCGGUAGUAGGGUCACGGCGGUGCUCGCUAGGGAGGCAGCGUUGAGGAGGGCCACAGGGUGCACUGUUGUGCCAAGGAUGAAGGAAGUGUGCUCUCGGACUUGAACAUCGGGAAAGGCAGCAGCAGCUUCAACGCAGAUCCGGCCGACACAGUUCCUCAACAAAUCGACGCGGUAGGGAAGAUUAGGGGGGGGGGGGGGGGGACGACAUGGACGACAAAUCCAUGCUAGAACGGUUUGGGUGCUUUAAAACCAUCCCCGGAGCAGAGCGCUAUGCGAGCCCGUCCUAGCCAUGGUAGGGGCCGACGAGGCGAGGUGCUCUUGCGCGCCAUAGGUGCUGGACAAAGCAUAUGGUAACCAUGACUUUCUUAAAACAAGAUACUAUAGAUGCAAGUACUCAACUUCACGCACAUACAGUCACAUCUAUAUAUCUUACAAACGCCCACCCACGGAACAAAAUGAGAACAUUCAAGAGGUCGGCUGGCACAUCUUGAUAUUGACAAUGUAAUGUGGUAUUAUCUACGUAUUAAUCAAGUAUUUGGAUGUAGUUAUGGUUCAUUUUUUAAUUGAUUAUAUGCAAAGAAGAAAAUUACAAAAUAGACUCAGAUAAACCUCAAUCAAUGUAUUGAUUAUUUUUGGGAAGUUGCACACACUGAUACAAGAACAUUAUUAUCAAGUACAACUCUUCUGUAUUCUAGAAGAUGGCACCUCCAAUGAUGGGUUGCUGCCACAACAAGGAAGGGUUCAUGAAAGACAUCUGGUUGAAUGGCAGCAAUUGUUGUUGCUGUAGGAAGGUGGCCGCCAAUGGGUUAGCCAGUGCCAAUGGGUUAACCUGUAGCAGCUGUUGUUGCUGGUGGUAGGUGGCAGCGGUUGCAACAGCCGACUGAGCAAAUGGAAGUGACUGUGGCUGUUGUAGGUAUGCAGCGGCGUUCGACACAGCUAGUUGGUUGAAUGGAAGUAGCUGUUGCUGUUGAAAGUAGGCGAUAGGGUUCACCACGGACUGUUGUAACUGUUGUUGUUGUUGUAGGUAUGCAAUGGCAUUCACCGCAGCCAGUGGGUUUGUAGGAAGUAGCUGUUGCAGCUGCAAGUAGGUGGCAGGGUUUGGAAUAGCUAGUUGACUGAGCGCUGGUAGGAACUGUUGUUGUUGUAGUUGCGCUACAAUGGUCUGUACUAGUAGGUGAGCCGAGGAUUGCUGUUGCAAUUGGGCAAUUGAUUGUUGUAAGAUGCUCGCCGCGAGCACUUGUUGUAGCCGAUAGGCCUGCACAACUGGGUGUUCAUACCCAACAGCAGUAACUGGUGAGCACUGCGGAAUGAUGAACGCACUUGUAGCACUCACCGUGAGAGCAAGGAGUGCAAGGAGGGCAAAUAUCUUGGCAGCCAUUGUUUCUAAGAUGUUGCUAGUGCGUUUCACUUGGCAACUUUCUAAUUGCUCUCAAUGAUAUGGGUGGUGGAUUAGCUAUCGAUUUGGGCCAAUUUAUACAAGUGAGAGUUCAUGCAUAUCUAUUCAGAUCUCGGAGUUUACUAAAAAAUAGAUGAGCAUGAGAUGACAUGGCACCUAGUCAACUUCGGUGCUUAGUUAUCUAUUUUGUUGGAUUAUAUGGUAUGUGUUGGCAAGAUAGUGUCGAUUAUGUGCUAGGAAAAAGUGCCCUUUUCUAUAGGAGUUCUCUAGAUACACGAGGAAUGGCAUACAUGAUAACUUCACCUUUAUGCAUGACAAAGCCUUAGCCACAUCAUAUUUGUUAGACUUUAUAAACAUGAUGAGUAUGUAAAAUUAUGAUUUGCUCAUGUGAAUCGAAGCCUUUAUCAACAGAGUUUGUUGUAGCAUCGUCCUUAUGGUUGAAGUAUACAAUGUAAUUAUGUGAGAAGUUAUCAACCAGCGAAUGAUCAAUAAUGCUGCAAGGCCACGACUCAUUGAAGUCUCAGUAUGUCUAAAAUGCAUGCGCAUGCAAAGAAUCUAAAAAAUUGGCAUGCGCAUGCUCAUUACUAUCUUGGCCACUACCACAUACUCCCUUUGUUCUGGAGCACAAUUUAGUUUAUUUUUGUGUAAAAGCAAGCUUGUCUAACUUUGAAAAAGUUUUACAUUAGUUUUAACAACAAAAAUGCACUAUCAAGACAUAAUGACAUAUGCAACGAAACAAAGUGAUGUUCAAGGUUUUUGGUAAAUUUCUAUGAAAUAUGUCAAAGUUAGGUAAGAUUACCUUAGGGAAAAGAUAGAGCAAGUAAUAAAUUGGAGCGGAGGAGGUAUAUGUUGAACUCUACCUCUUGACUCAAAUAGAUGUGCAUCUAAUUUUCACUAAAGUCAAACUUAAAUUAUUUCCAUAUAGUAAGGAGAAUGAUAAAUUUGAUGCGGCUUUUGUUCCUUCCACCACCUAUGAUAUGAAUCUGCCUUCAAUAUACAGGUGAAGAGGAUAAUAGCCAACCUCGUAGCUAUUCGAAACAAAUAUCUCUUUGUGCUCAAAGGCAUAGAUCCAUUCAAGAAUAAAAACAACAUGGCCAUUGACAUAAACCUUGCUCAGCUAUGCUACAAAAACUCAAGAUAAAGGAGACUGAGAUGGGUGUUGUGUUGAUUUUUUAGGAGAAACACUAUAACAUCUGGACUUGGAAGUUUCAUGAAAACACACUCCUUCAUAUUCGUUUUCACUAGAACAAUGAGCACAUUGGUACACAUAAUUAAUUCCUUGGAGUUGACUCAAAUAUAUUUUAGAUUUUGUUUCACAUGAGUAGAAUCUCGUCCGAAAGAAUUUGGGGAACAUUGGGAUAAUAACCGUAAUCGCUAGGACUAGACAACAAGUUUAGGCUAAGGAAAUCUAAAAUGGCUGAAGACAUUUAAAAAUAAUAACUUCUAUUGACACAAAAUUAGAGUGAGACCAAUAAAAUCUUCAUGGCUUGAUUUACUAUUCCUUGUUCAUUUAUAAAGGAAUGUAUUUCAUGUUUCUACAAUAAUUUGCUUUAUGGGUGCUCACAUAGAUAUGAUAAGAUAUCUUUUCAACUUUUAUAUGACAUGCGAGUUAAGGUUACAUUGAUGACAGUGUUACAAACUACCUCUAGUAAACUAUCUUGUAGGUAAUAAACUUGUUCAUUUGUUUAGUUUUAACAUUUUAGAACAUGAACGUUUUCACAUUCAACACAUAGAUGCAAACUGCAAUCCAUUGAACUAAUCUAGGUGUCAUAAUGGCACUCUAUGUGGGUUCUCUCUGCAGAACAGCAGAAUGACGGUGGAUGGUUGGUACUUUAAUCUCGGGACAUUACUUUUGGGUUUUGAUAGCUCCACUCUAAAUCAUAUUUUACUAGGUACGGUGUCCAUCAGAAAAGAUCCUAUCUUUCAUAAUGCUACCUAGCAAAAAUGUGAGCUACAAUGUUGAGCAGUCAAUUUGACGUAGGUUUGAUGUCCCUCUGUAAAAUUGUCUCUGGCAUAUUCUUGGGAUAUUAAACUUCACGUUCAUGAUAAUUUUUUUUGGCAUCAAGUAUUAUACUUUGUUGUUAAUUGUUAAUGAUAGGGUCUAGUUGAUUUAAUGCCCUUGGCCUUGUCAAGUUCGUGGGCUCCAAUUAUUUCCUUAUUUUUCUACAAUAUUAUGGAGUCUUGCAUAAUUUUGCUCCAAGAUAAAAACAUAUGCACCAAAUAUUUACUAGAAACAAUAAUUAAGAGGUGUGACUUUGCAUAUCAACUUUGCACGCAUAUAUACGUUUACUCAUGAAUUUCUAUUAUGUUUUCCUUUGUGUACAUGUAUCUGACUUCAAAGAUAUUCGUCAAAGCAUAUGUGGCCAUGACUUUCUUAAAACAAGAUAUUGUAGAUGCAAGUACUCAACUCCACGCAAGUACUCAACUCCACGCAAGUACUCAACUCCACGCACAUACAGUCACAUCUAUAUAUCUCACAAACACCCACACACAGUACCAAAUGAGAAAAUUCAAGGGGGUUGGCUGGCACAUCUUGAUAUUGACAAUGUAAUGUCGUAUUGUCUACGUAUUAAUCAAGCAUUUGGCUGUAAUUAUGGUUCAUUUUUUAAUUGAUUAUAUACAAAGAAGAAAAUUACGGAAUAGACUCAGAUAAAUCUCAAUCAAUGUAUUGAUUAUUUGUGAGAAGUUGCACACGCUGAUACAAGAACAUUGUUAUCAAGUACAACUCUUUUGUAUUCUAGAAGAUGGCACCUCCAACGAUGGGUUGCUGCCACAACAAGGAAGGGUUCUUAAAAGACAUCUGGUUGAAUGGCAGCAAUUGUUGUUGCUGCAGGAAGGCGGCAGCCAAUGGGUUAGCCAGUGCCAAUGGGUUAACCGGUAGCAGCUGCUGUUGCUGGUGGUAGGUGGCAGCGGUUGCAACAGCCGACUGGGCAAAUGGAAGCGGUUGUGGCUGUUGCAGGUAUGCAGCGGUGUUCGGCACAGCUAGUUGGUUGAAUGGAAGUAGCUGUUGCUGUUGUAAGUAGGCGGCAGGGUUUGCCACGACUAGUUGACUGAGCGCUGGCAGGAUCUGUUGUAACUGUUGUUGUUGUGGUAGGUAUGCAAUGGCAUUCGACGCAGCCAAUGGGUUUGUAGGAAGUAGUUGUUGCAGCUGCAAGUAGGCGGUAGGGUUCGGAAUAGCUAGUUGACUGAGCACUGGUAGGAACUGUCGUUGUUGUCGUUGCGCUACAAUGGUCUGUUCUAGUAGGUGAGCCGAGGAUUGCUGUUGCAAUUGGGCAAUUGGUUGUUGUAAGAUGCUCGCCGCGAGCACCUGUUGUAGCCGAUAGGCCUGCACAACUGGGUGUUCAUACCCCGUAGCAGUAAUCGGUGAGCACUGCGGAAUGAUGAACGCAGUUGUAGCACUCACUAAGAGAGCAAGGAGUGCAAGGAGGGCAAAUAUCUUGGCAGCCAUUAUUUGCUAGUGCGUUUCACUUGGCUUGUUUCUGAUUGCUCUCAAUGAUAUGGGUUGUGGAUUAGAUAUUGAUUUGGUCCUAUUUAUAUAAGUGAGAGUUCAUGCAUAUCUAUUCAGAUCUCAGAGUUUACUAAAAAGCGGAUUAGCUUCAGAUGACAUGGCACCUAGUCAACUUCGGUGCUUAGUUAUCUAUUUUGUUGGAUUAUAUGGUAUGUGUUGGCAAGAUAGUGUCGACUAUGUGCUGUGAAAAAGUGCCCUUUUCUAUAGGAGUUCUCUAGAUACACGAGGAAUGACAUACAUGAUGACUUCACUUUUAAGCAUGACAAAGCCUUAGCCACAUCAUAUUUGUUAGACUUUAUAAACAUGAUAAGUAUGUAAAGUUAUGACUUGCUCAUGUGAAUCGAAGCCUUUAUCAAUAGACUUUGUUGUAGCAUCAUAGUUAUGGUUGAAGUAUACGUUGUAAUUAUGUGAGAAGUUGUCCAACAGCGAAUGAACAUUAAUGUUGCAAGGCCAUGGCUCAUUGAAGUCUCAGUACGUCCAAAAUGCAUGCACAUGCAAAGAAUGUAAAAAAUUUGCAUGCUCAUUACUAUCUUGGCCACUGCCACACACUCCCUUUGUUCUAGAGAACAAUUUAGUUUAUUUUUGUGUAAAAGCAAGCUUGUCUAACUUUGAAAUAGUUUUAAAUUUGUUUUAACAACAAAAAUGCACUAUCAAGACAUAUACAAUGAAGAAUUCAAUGAAACAAACUUGAUGUUCAAGGUUUUUGGUAAAUUUCUAUGAAAUAUGUCAAAGCUAGGUAAGUUUACCUUAGGGAAAAGCUAGAGCAAGUAAUAAAUUGGAGCGGAGGGGGUAUAUGUUGAACUCUACCUCUUGACUCAAAUAGAUGUGCAUCUAAUUUUCACUAAAGUCAAACUUAAAUUAUUUCCAUAUAGUAAGGAGAAUGAUAAAUUUGAUGCGGCUUUUGUUCCUUCCACCACCUAUGAUAUGAAUCUGCCUUCAAUAUACAGGUGAAGAGGAUAAUAGCCAACCUCGUAGCUAUUCGAAACAAAUAUCUCUUUGUGCUCAAAGGCAUAGAUCCAUUCAAGAAUAAAAACAACAUGGCCAUUGACAUAAACCUUGCUCAGCUAUGCUACAAAAACUCAAGAUAAAGGAGACUGAGAUGGGUGUUGUGUUGAUUUUUUAGGAGAAACACUAUAACAUCUGGACUUGGAAGUUUCAUGAAAACACACUCCUUCAUAUUCGUUUUCACUAGAACAAUGAGCACAUUGGUACACAUAAUUAAUUCCUUGGAGUUGACUCAAAUAUAUUUUAGAUUUUGUUUCACAUGAGUAGAAUCUCGUCCGAAAGAAUUUGGGGAACAUUGGGAUAAUAACCGUAAUCGCUAGGACUAGACAAUAAGUUUAGGCUAAGGAAAUCUAAAAUGGCUGAAGACAUUUAAAAAUAAUAACUUCUAUUGACACAAAAUUAGAGUGAGACCAAUAAAAUCUUCAUGGCUUGAUUUACUAUUCCUUGUUCAUUUAUAAAGGUAUAUAUUUCAUGAUACUACAAUAAUUUGCUCUAUGGGUGCUCACAUAAAUAUGAUAAGAUAUUUUUUCAACUUUUAUAUGACAUGCGAGUUAAGGUUACAUUGAUGAUAGUGUUACAAACUACCCCUAGUAAAUUAUCUUGUAGGUAAACUUGUUCAUUUGUUUAGUUUUAACAUUUUAGAACAUGAACGUUUUCACAUUCAACACUGUUGAUGGUGGUUAACGUCAACUUUCAUUAGAACUUUAAACCCAAAAGAAAACAUGAAAACACACCAGUCUAGGGUUUUAACUGACAAUUUCCACGAGUUUCGCAUAUUCUGUAUUUUCUAGGGUGAAUUUCAUGAAAGCCGAAAAGAGGGAUUCUAGUGCAAAAUAAACACGAAACUUAUCCACCACGGCAACAUCGCAAACGGGACGUGGGAAGACUCUGGAAGACACCCAAAGAGCCAGGGGGGCAGAGGCCGCCAGGUGGGGCCGGCCGGCCCCACCCUAGCGCCGGCCGGUGCCCUCUACAAGGGUUUCGGCCCCCCUUCUGGAAGCUUCCUCCAGGGCCUACGAUGAGUCAUCUUGGCCUUUGGUUAAAUCGGUUUGAUCCUGCGGCGCACGUCGAUCCAACCGGGAUAUAAAUAAAGUGGCAGACCCCCCUCCCUGAGGGCACCACAUUAUGGAGAUGUAGAGGCGUCCCUCGAAUGGAUGACCUCUCACCUCUAGAGAAUUAGGGCUAGACUUUCCAAUGUAGUAGAUUAGUUCUAGUUGAGAGUUAGCGAGAGCGGCGCUACGCCCGGGUUCUGGAGGAGUCUUCGGAGGAGUCAUCAGAGUUCUGGUAUAUCUUUGUAUCCUUGCUUUAAUAUAUUUUUUCUUCUCUAUUUACUUUUAUGCAUUACAUUUGAUUGGUUAGUAUAGUUGUUAUACUUUAGCAUAGGAUCUCCGCUCGCAUCGGGUGCUCUAAUUAUUAAUUGUGACUAGAGUAGUAGUUUGUAGUAGAGACAUGGUGUCUAGACUAUAGGUUACCUGAGAUUGCACCCAGUUCUACGGAUAGUUGUGGUAGCCCCAGGUGGUGACAGCCCUGACGGCCAACGUAUUCCACCACAUUUGGAUUGGUGUUGUAGGACCGUAGUCAGAUCAUCCUAGCCCCCUUCUCAUCUGUCUGUGGCUAAGUGCUCUGAUGUCCCGAAGUGUUAUUGUGUGAUUGCUUUACCUACCAUGAAUUAGUUAUUAUAGAACCCUAGUAAUAGAGAAGUAUUUGGGAACCUUAAACUCUCCCGUUGUUCUAUCACUUUAGCUAUCUACUCUUUUAUCAUAAGAAUUCUCGGGUGUGUGUCAUAUAUGCAUAAUUCCUAUCAUCGGUUACUUACCCCUACUUAAGUCUAGUUGGUGUAUUAGUUAGUAGAUACAUGAUGGUGAACUAUCAAUAUCUUUAUUCAUUGUUUCCCAGUGGUAAGAUAUAAAUAACGAUACCUGGAAUACUCCUAGUAAAAUGCUACAAUGGUUUUCUGCGCGCUUGCAGAAUCCUUCAUAUUUUAACUGUGCAUAAGAAAUACCAACAAACACCAAGAUGCAAACUGCAAUCCAUUGAACUAAUCUAGGUUUCAUAGUGGCACUCUAUGCGGGUUCUCUCUGUAGAACAGCGGUGGAUGGUUGGUACUUUAAUCUCAGGACAUUACUUUUGGGUUUUGAUAGCUCCACUCUAAAUCAUAUUUUACUGGGUACGGUGUCCAUCAGAAAAGAUCCCAUCUUUCAUAAUGCUACCUAGCAAAAAUGUGAGCUACAGUGUUGAGCAGUCAAUUUGACGCAGGUUUGGUGUCCCUCUGUAAAAUUGUCUCUGGCAUAUUCGUGGGAUAUUAAACUUCACGUUCAUGAUAAAUUAUUUUGGCAUCAAGUUUAAUACUUUGUUGCUAAUUGUUAAUGAUAAGGUGUAGUGUAUUUAGUGCCCUUGGCCUUGUCAAGUUCGUGGGCUCCAAUUAUUUCCUUAUUUUUCUACAAUAUUAUGGCGUCUUGCACAAUUUUGCUCCAAGAUAAAAACAUAUGCACCAAAUAUUUACUAGAAACAAUAAUUAAGAGGUAUGACUUUGCAUAUCAACUUUGCACGCAUAUAUAUGUUUACUCAUGAAUUUCUAUUAUGCUUUCCUUUGUGUACAUGUAUCUGACUUCAAAGAUAAUGGUCAAAGCAUAUGUGGCCAUGAUUUUCUUAAAACAAGAUACUAUAGAUGCAAGUACUCAACUCCAUGCACAUACAGUCACAUCUAUAUAUCUCACAAACACCCACGCACAGAACCAAAUGAGAACAUUCAAGGUUUGGCUGGCACAUCUUGAUAUUGACAAUGUAAUGUCGUAUUGUGUACGUAUUAAUAAAGCAUUUGGCUGUAAUUAUGGUUCAUUUUUAAUUGAUUAUAUACAAAGAAGAAAAUUAUGGAAUAGACUCAGAUAAAUCUCAAUCAAUGUAUUGAUUAUUUCCGAGAAGUUGCACACGCUGAUACAAGAAUAUUGUUAUCAAGUACAACUCUUUUGUAUUCUAGAAGAUGGCACCUCCAACGAUGGGUUGCUGCCACAACAAGGAAGGGUUCUUAAAAGACAUCUGGUUGAAUGGCAGCAAUUGUUGUUGCUGCAGGAAGGCGGCAGCCAAUGGGUUAGCCAGUGCCAAUGGGUUAACCGGUAGCAGCUGCUGUUGCUGGUGGUAGGUGGCAGCGGUUGCAACAGCCGACUGGGCAAAUGGAAGCGGUUGUGGCUGUUGCAGGUAUGCAGCGGUGUUCGGCACAGCUAGUUGGUUGAAUGGAAGUAGCUGUUGCUGUUGUAAGUAGGCGGCAGGGUUUGCCACGACUAGUUGACUGAGCGCUGGCAGGAUCUGUUGUAACUGUUGUUGUUGUGGUAGGUAUGCAAUGGCAUUCGACGCAGCCAAUGGGUUUGUAGGAAGUAGUUGUUGCAGCUGCAAGUAGGCGGUAGGGUUUGGAAUAGCUAGUUGACUAAACGCUGGUAGGAACUGUUGUUGUUGUAGUUGCGCUACAAUGGUCUGUACUAGUAGUUGAGCCGAGGAUUGCUGUUGCAAUUGGACAAUUGGUUGUUGUAAGAUGCUCGCCGUGAGCACCUGUUGUUGCCGAUAGGCCUGCACAAUUGGGUGUUCAUACCCCGCAGCAGUAACCGGUGAGCACUGCGGAAUGAUGAACGCACUUGUAGCACUCACUAGGAGAGCAAGGAGUGCAAGGAGGGCAAAUAUCUUGGGAGCCAUUGUUUCUAUGAUGUUGCUAGUGCGUUUCACUUGGCUUGUUUCUGAUUGCUCUCAAUGAUAUGGGUGGUGGAUUAGAUAUGGAUUUGGGCCUAUUUAUACAAGUGAGAGUUAAUGCAUAUCUAUUCAGAUCUCGGAGUUUACUAAAAAAAUGGAUGAGCUUCAAAUGACAUGGCACCUAGUCAACUUCGGUGCUUAGUUAUCUAUUUUGUUGGAUUAUAUGGUAUGUGUUGGCAAGAUAGUGUCGACUAUGUGCUGUGAAAAAGUGCCCUUUUCUAUAGGAGUUCUCUAGAUACAUGAGGAAUGACAUACAUGAUGACUUCACUUUUAUGCAUGACAAAGCCUUAGCUGCAUCAUAUUUGUUCUACUUUAUAAACAUGAUAAGCAUGUAAAGUUAUGACUUGCUCAUGUGAAUCAAAGUGUAAUGCCCUGGAUAGGAACACUACCGCCGAAGGCUUCCAACAACAUCUAAAUUUUAUUAUGUUUGCAAAUCAUUUAAAAUUUUGGCAGAGUUUCCCUAGUAUUUUGGGCAUCUAAACAGGUAAAUCACGUUACAAUGACGAUAUAAUCACCCAACAAUAUCUUGUUAAGCAUCCUAACCAACCAUUAAGCAACCUCUUGUUAAGCUAAACAUAUGUAAACUAGGUGUUUGUAUCAUGAAGGUGCUACUCCCGGUUCCCAUGCAUGCUGUUGUCAUUUGGUACCUAAAAACCAAAUAAACACAAGGGUGAGUAAAAACACUUGGUAAGUGCAAUUAGAACCGAAAGAAGAAAUUCAACGUUGUCCAUGAACAAAAUAUCAGAAUAUCCAUAGACAAUAGUUUAUGUGUGAAAUAGAUUAACUUGAAACCUUAGCAUUUACCGGUAAAGCCAAGCAAGUGGGGCCAACAUAAGAACCAAAUUGCACCUCCGGAUAAACAGGCACCAGAAUUGAAUGUAAAAGAAAUCAAGAAACUUGAACUUGAAUAUAAAAAGCAAAUUGCACAUGUGGAUCCACCGGAACAGGAAUUGAAUUUAAAGGAACAAUCGAAACUUGAAUUACAUAGCACACGUGAAACAACUAAAUCAAUUGAAAACUCAACAAUAGGCAUAAGCCCAUCCAUAGGUUCCUCAUGCACUUUCCUUAAGGGCUUGUUAAGUUUGGCGAGAAUCCAGCAUUCUUGCCACCCUCGGUAACAGCGCUUCCCAAACCUGAGGAGCAAACUGCCUUAGAAACUCAAUUAAACCUCUCAGUCGAACCCUAAUAUGUGAAUUCUCAUAUUUUUAGAAGACCCAAUAAAAUUUGAGUUCCUCGCUGCUUUGACCAUAACUCUCAAUUCUGUUAUCCAAAUUCAGCAAAUAAAUACAUGUCAGACAUGUACAGAAAAUUUUCUAUAAUUUGGUUUAGAAAUCCAGGACCAAUUCUGUCUCUGAAUACCUCGAAAAUAGAUCCCCAUUAGUCUAACGUUUUCUAUUCCUCCUCUUUCUUGCCUGUCACACCCCUCGCCGCCAACGCUUACGCCGUCGACGUGAGCGAUUAAGAGAUACAGAUCGGGCGAGGAACGCCGGCGAGGAAUCUUCCUCUGCCUUGCGUGUUCUAUUUUUCAAUGUCUGGAUGAUUGUUCCCCUCCACGGGUUGGGCACUUAUGUGCCAGAUACAGAGUUGGCCUUGGGCCCACAAGUCAUACACUAGAAUUGAAAACGUAAAACACAGCUACACUUCUUCUAUGCGAUGGUGUCUUCUUGGUAUUCUCUUUCUGCUAUUUCCCUUUGCCUCCGCGACGACAGUGGCCUCCCAGGAUCUACGCGCCAGCAGUAGCUAGCUAGCCUUGCUACUUCCCAGCAGCUUCACGUACUUAGCAGCACCAAGAUUAGAUGAAAGCAACUCACGGGAAAACAAUAACUAAAGUAGCAACUGAGAUACAGAAGCAAGGAUGCCUUUCUUUUUAUGAUCUAAAUUUAACGGUGGUUCCUCCUAAAUUCAUCCAACCUCCAGACAAAACAUGUUAGUAGUAAAAUGAAUUCGCUUCGACGAGAUCCACACAACCACGCACGGUGUCCGAUCGUCCAUAAGAUUCCCGGUUCAAAUACUCAAAAUUUGAUCAUCUCAUAGUGUCCGUUCGGUCAACUUAUUAAUUUUGUUUUGAAAAAUUCGGGAUAUUACACAAUGCCUUUAUCAACGGACUUUGUUGUAGCAUUGUAGAUCGUACUCAUCAUGGUUGAAGUAUAUACAGUAACUUCUUUUUAAAUUUGAGGAGACCUCCACCGGCUAUAGUGCAGUGUCUAUAUUGUAUUUCGGUUCCUCGUAUAUUACCAAAUUAUAUGUAGAUUGAUGGUUUGAGACUCUAAACAAUUUGAAAUCAAAAAGUUGUCAAGUCAACUAUAAAGUUUUAUAACUUUUAGAGAUCUAUAAUUUUUAUUUAGGGAGUUUCUCCAUCCGAGAUCGUUUACAAAAUUUGAAUUUCAAAUUUGAGAAAUUCAAACGUAGUUUUUGCAUGAUAAGAUGUUUUCAAAUGAAAAAUUUGUCAACUACAAAGUUUCAUAACUUUUUGAUAUCUACAAAGGUUACUUAGGGAGUUUUUUCAUCCGAGGUCAUUUGAAAAAUUCAAAUUUUCAAUUUUCAAAUAAAGACGCAGUUUUGCAUGACAAGAUGAACUCAAAUGAAAAAGUUGAUAACUACAAAGUUUCAUAACUUGCCGAUAUCUACAAAGUUUAUUUAGAGAGUUUUCCCAUCUGAGGUCAUUUCAAAAAUUUGAAUUUUAAAAUUUUUAAAUAAAUACAUAGUUUUGCAUGAGAAGAUGAACUCAAAUGGAAAAGUUGUCAACUACAAAAUUUCAUAACUUCUUAAGAUCUACAAUGUUUAUUAUAGUUGUUUGAUCAUUUGUUCAACCAACAUGGUGAUUCUAACAUUUUUCACAAAACUUAUAUAUCUCUCUUGCAGUUUCAUAAACUAUAAGAAAGAUAUGUAAAAUUUGUGAAUAAAUUUAUUUUUUUCACUUUGUCAAAUGAUAAAAUGAGAAAAAUAAAGGUUGUAGAUCUUGAGAAGUUAUACAACUUUGUAAUUGAAAACUUUUUGAUUUAAAUUCGUUUAGGGCUUCAAAAUUCGAUUUGAAAUUUUCUUUACCGAGUAUUUUUUUUUACACUCGGCAAAGAAGGUCUUCACCAAGUGUUAGAAAAAAAAACACUUGACAAAGAGGCUUCUUUGCCGAGUGUAAAAGAACACUCGGCAAAGAAAGUCUUUGCCUAGUGUUAAAAAAAAAACACUCAACAAAGAGGCUUCUUUGCCGAGUAUAAACAAAACACUCGGAAAAGAGCCAAAUUCCGGUAGUGAAUUGAAGUCCCAGUACGUAUAAAAUGCAUGCACACACAUAUAAUAUAAGAAAUUGGAAUGCUUAUUACUAUCUUUGGCCACUCCCACACACUCCCUUUUCUGGAUUAGAAUUCACUUUAUUUUUUGUCUAAAAUCAAAAGCUUGUGUAACUUUGAAAAAUGUUUUAAAUAAAUCUUGACAACAAAAAUUGCACUAUCAAGAGCACAACGUUCAAUGGCAUCUCGACGAAUCUGGUGGUAUACAUGGAGACCGUCCUCCAUGGCAGCAACCAUGGCAGUGCAUGCAUGCCUCCUCACCACGUGGUACGGCACCAGCUAUAAGCCUAUAUAUACCUCACGCCCAUCUUUCUUCAGCUGGUUCUACCUCUGCGUCGACUUCGGCCCCAUCGUGUCCGGCCGGUCUCCUCAUCGUGUGCAACGUUAGCUGGGGGCCUCGGCUUCGGCAUCGCCACGGCCUGCAUCGCGCUAGCCUUCCUGCUGCGCCUGCUGCCCCAUCUGGGUGACCAGCGUCAUCGUGUCCUCGACGUACACGCAGAUGUAUACCACCUUCGUCCAAAUUUGUAGUGGUUUUUGAUGUAAAUGUAACAGUGUAACACAGAGUAUAAAGUAUAAACCGUAGUUCUUUACCUACUGGUUCCCGUUCCCAUGUCCAAUCCCUGAUCAACGAGGACUCCAGCUCGGCUGCUCGAGACAACUGAUCGAUCGAUUCCGAAAAGGAAGAGCAGACUCCGUGGAUUCUAACCGGAUUAGCUAGACGAUCAACUCGAACUAUGCAAAUCCUUAGGAGUAGUAUAUAACCAGACGAUGCACGCCGUGGGAUUAAUUUACAACCGCAAGAUAGGAAGCUAGUUUUCAGCAGCCAUAUAGCUAGUUGCAGUACACGUUCUCCCUUGCCAAAAGCAACAAGAAGCAUCGCGGCAAUUCUAUCGAUCGGGCACGUACGCCGGAUGGCAGCUGCUGACGCGAUGGCCGGAGCGGCGGCUACAGACGACGAUGGAGCCGCCGUGGCGAUGGUAAAGAUGGCGGAGAUGCCGGUGGAGUUUCUCCGGUGGGUGAUGGCGCAGGACAAGGAGGACUACCGCGUGCCUACGCUGGAGGACUACACGCAGGAGGAGGUCGCCGAGGCCAAGGACACCAUCUGCACCGUCAUCGGCUGCUUGCAGGUCGCGUACGACGAGUUCGACGAGUUCCGGGCCUGGGUCGGCGACGUGAUCGAGAACGACGGCUGCGUGAUGAUCCACGAGGACAUGCUCUUCUCGGAUCCCAAAGAAUGGCAGGAAAGCGUCGACCAGGAGUGGGCAGAGGCAAGGCAGGAGCUGGAGAUGGAGCUGACGAAACCACUCGGCCAGCACCUGUGCAUGUUGUCUACGUAUCUUUCGCUCUUGUACCACUAUGCAGCGCCCAUCCCGACAUUUUGGGGGCCUUAGCUAUAUAUAUGGGUGAGAAAAGUUAAUAUUAUUAAGGCCAAUAACCAAUGUCGUAGAGACGGUAAGAACUACCGACAUGUUUUUUUUUUCAUAUUUUUGUUUAGUUUUUAAAUUUUCCAUUUACUUUUUUUUUCAUAUUUUCGUUUAGAAUGAAUAGUUUGUUUUCAUUUUCCAACAAGACUUAUUUUGGAUUUUUGCCAAAAAAAAUAGUAAGAUAAUCUAGAGAUGACGUGGUAUCUAGUUGGUUUUGAUAUUUAGUGGCCACUUUGUUGGGUUAUAUACUUUAUACGUCGGCAAGACAAUGUAACUUUGUUGGGUUAUACUUUAUAUGUCGGCAAGACAAUCUCCACAAAAUACAAUGAUCCUCUUGGCAUUUUCCAAAUACAUGGGUGACAAUAUGGCACAAUCCGUUUACCUUUACUCGUGUGUAACCUUAGCCACAUAUGGUGCUACUUUUCUUUGCGGCAGACGCUCACAUACACGAGCACACACUCAGUCCUAUAAAUGCACGCAUGCAAGUUAUUUUGCACUAUAGCCGAUGAGAUGAACCAUUCAUGCAAAAUAAAAGAAGUGGAGAGGAAGGGUAUAUGCUGCGCUGAAAUUGGAUAUGAGUAAGGCUUAUGAUAGAGUGGAGUGGCCUUUUAUAGAGAAGAUUAUGAGAAGAGGCUGGGUUUUCAUGAAAGAUGGAUAAUACUGAUUAUGACAUGUAUUACAACAGUCACUUAUCGCAUACAGGUGAAUAGUGGUUUGACUGAACAAAUCAUUUAUUCUAGAGGGUCUAGGCAGGGGGAUCCAAUUUCCCCGUAUUUAUUCUUGCUGUGUGCGGAAGGUUUUUUCAUCCUUGCUAAAUGAUGCCGAGAUGAAUGGAAGAAGUCAGGGGGUCUCGAUAUGUUCUGGAGCUCCUAGCAUAACUCACCUUUUGUUUGCAGAUGAUUCGUUGCUUCUCUUAAAAGCAAAUGAUGGGAAUGCAGCACAUCUGCGACAUGUUCUACAAAUUUAUGAGAUAUGCUCGGGGCAGAAAAUUAACAAAGAGAAAUCCUCUAUUGUGUUUAGUAAGAACACCCAGCCACAGGCAAAAUGGAGAUUCAUGGAAAUUCUUGAUCUUGCACAAGAGUCAAUGAAUGAAAGGUACUUGGGUUUGCCAGUAUAUAUGGGGAGAUCAAAAGCAAGUGUGUUUGGAAACGGAUACAGGGUUGGAAGGAAAAGUUGCUAUCAAAGGCCGACAAAGAAACUUUGAUCAAGGCGGUGGCACACACUACUACAGGAUUGAUUAACCGCAACGAGACCAUUUCCACCUCCGUGACGGGCACAGUUUUUGCCCGCCACGGUUAUUCAACCGCACGCGUAUAGGCCCGGCCACAGGAAAGCUAUAUUUUUUUUCUAGAUUCUUAAUGGAUCCAUAUGAAACCUUCUUUGUUCGAUGUGUAACGGUUCGCAGGCACGAGAUGGAUAGGUCGGAAUGGAUGUAUGGGAUGAAUCGGGUGCUUGACCCGCGGUACCUUGUCGAAGUGAGGAAGUUUAUUGCCACGGCGAAAGCUCACCGUGAGAGAUCGAAGCGGACGACAACCAUAUGUCCAUGUUCUCACUGCAAGAACCUCACAGCCUUCACGAAAGAAGGUACGGUGCAGUCUCACUUGAUUCGGUUUGGUUUCAUGGAGGGUUACACAGUCUGGACUCAUCACGGUGAAAGAGUGGACCCCAGUGGUGAUGCAUCCGGUUUGAGCUCGACGUCGACGACCAUGAACCAAGAACCUAGAGCGCCCAUCUCAUCUCCAACGACUGCAGGGCCAACCUUUGGCAACAACGACAACAUUGAUUCAGACAGAGUGGAGGAUAUACUCGGGGAGAUGGCAGAUGUUGUUGCAGAUGGCGAGGCGGCUACCAUGCAGGAACCGGAGGAUAUCGAGGUGAUCGAGGGUUUAGUCAGCCACAUCGAUGAAGACGACGUUGUGUAUGGCUCCCCUAAGUGGUUGGAAAAUUUUAGGGAGAUGAAGCAGACUGCACUUGAUCCACUGUAUAAGGACGGCGGUAAUUGUCCAAAGGAGUGUACGGUGCUCCGGUUCAACCUCCACAUGUUGAUGAUGAAGGCCCGGCAUGGCUGGUCUGAUACUAGCUUCAAUGAGCUGUUAAGUUACCUUGCUACCACGUACCCGACGGGUAACAAGGUCCCCGCAAAUACCUAUCAUGCGAAGAAGUUGAUUCGUCCAGUUGCGAUGAAACUUAGAAAGUUUGAUGCCUGCCCCAACCACUGCAUCCUGUAUCGAGGCAAGGAGUAUGAGAAUAUGACGAGUUGUCCGCACUGCGGCGCCAGUCGCUACAAGAGGAAUGCUGGAUGUCGUGUGGACGAAGACGACGAUGUGGCCUUACGGGGUCGUCCGAAGAGGAAGAAGGGAGCCAAGAAUAGCAGUGCCGCCGCCAAUCGCAUCUCAUCUCAGCAAGAUGAGGAAGAAGAGGGUUACACGCGGAGGAAAAGUCCAGCACUAUCGUUGUGGUACCUGCCUGUGACCGACCGCUUGCGUGCACUAUUCGGGAACCCAGAGGAUGCCAAGCUCAUGUCCUGGCAUGCAUCAGCUGACCGCAAGAAGGAUGAUGGCAUGCUGCGGCACCCAUCCAAUGGCCAACAGUGGAAAGAUUUUGACAAGGCAUACCCGGAAUUUGGUAAGGAUCCUAGGAACGUUCGGCUCGCGCUGAGUACUGAUGGGAUGAACCCUUUUGGUGAGCUUAGCAGCUCGCACAGCACCUGGCCGGUUGUACUCACCGUCUACAACCUACCUUCCCAUCUGUGUCAAAGGCGAAGGUAUCUUAUGCUGACCAUGCUUAUCUCAGGACCGAAGCAGCCUGGUAACGAUAUCGAUGUCUUCCUAGAGCCGUUGAUGGAGGAAAUGCAGGAGUUAUUUGAUGUUGGGGUAGAGAUGAUUGAUGCAUCCCGCAAAGAGAAGUUUACCCUAAAAGCCAUCAUCAUUGUCAGCAUCACCGAUUACCCCGGUCUCUUCUCACUAUCAGGGCAGAUCAAAGGGAAGACCGGCUGCGUAGUGUGCAUCGACGGGACCUACUACACUUAUCUCCAGGGAUAUCACAAGAUGGUGUACAUGAGGCAUAGACGGUUCCUCGUCAAGAAGCACAGGUACAGAAGAAGUGUUAUGAAUCAGUUCUUCGCUGAUGAGGAAGAGCCGCAGGGUGAAGCACCAGCUGUGGGGGUAUAAACCCCUAUACCCUUACGGCUAGACUUGGGCCAGAAGGCUUGGCCCAUUACAAGACAAGCUCAAGGUUUGGUCCGACAGCUUGGAGUUUCGCGCAAGGAAACAAGACGUGGAGAUCAAGAAGGAUUCUAGUCGGUUAGAAUAGAAAUUGAUAUCAAACUAUCUAUGGCAAUUGUAACCGACUAGGAUUAGUUUCCAGAUCUGUAACCCUGUCCUCCGGACUAUAUAAGGAGAGGCAAGGGACCCCCCUAGGACAUCAUAUUCUCUCAACACAAAUCAAUACGACCAGACGCAGGACGUAGGUAUUACGCCAACUCGGCGGCCGAACCUGGAUAAAAAGCUUGUCCGUGUCUUGCGUCACCAUCAAGUUCGUAGUUUGCGCACCGUCUACCGAUAAACUACUACCGUGGGUAUACCCCAAGGUAGACUGCCGACUAGCUUUCGUCGACAGUGGCGCGCCAGGUAGGGGGUGUGCGUGCAACUUCUCCGGCGAACAAGAUGGUUACGAUCCCAGCUUCCGCGACCGUGCCUGAAGGCCUCACGUUCACCGUCAGCCAGAUCACGUGGACGACGUGCAGCGGCGGCCUCACGACCACGGUUUCGAAAGAAACUCAGAUCCGAUCUGAGAUCACGCCGUCUCCGACCACUCGCGUGGCGGCACCGAGCGCCCGACCACCGUUCCCGCUCUACAAGGGAAAGAAGAUUGACUGCUCGGACCUUCUCCAAGCGCUUGAUCGCGCUGACUCCAAGCUACUUGAAGCCUCCCAACUAGUAGACGGAGUCCUACGUCAGCCUGAUCAAGCUGCUCCAACGGAUUUUUUCAAAUCCCGCCGGCCAACUCGUGUCGUUACACACGAACGGCUGGGAACGUCUCUGACGAUAACCUCAACCCCCUCAGGACGAUCCGUCAAGCUCAAGAAGGGAGAUCAUCCUUGCGGCCUGAACAACUCAGCCUCUCUUUACUCACGGCACAUCCAAUCCGUUUUCAGCAAGGCGGGUUGGCCGCCGAAAAGGAACGGUCGUCACUACGUCAACGUGGUGGCAAUCCGAGAACUACGGGACGGCCAGGCUUCCAGCACGAACUCGAGCACCGGUUCCGUCACCACCGAAGUUAUAAACACCGAAGACGAGGACUACGACCUGGAUUUGCCUUCGCACCCUCCGGAUUUCCCUCGUUUCCCGGUAUUCCCCCCUCGGCGAGGAGAUAUUGUCUUCAACGUCAGCGCCGACGAACCGGUCGUCGAUGGAGAAACGGAUGAGCAGAGGCAACUCCGCGAGCAGCGCAACGCCGAUCGCGCCCGACGACGUGCGGACGAGCAACAACAAAUUCCACCGCAUAAUCUCAACGACGCUUUUGACAUGGUCGGGGACCAGCCAGUCUACAAGACGCCAAUCGCCAACGUGGCUGUCGCCAUGGCUAAUCUAGAUCGGCUCCCUGAUACCCCUGAGUGCCAAGGAGUCCGGACCAGCAUCCGAGCACACAUGAUCGCCGCAAUGGGACAGACAGCCACUCUGCUCAAGAGAGUCCAGGACGUCUCUUACACAGAAGCCACCUCCGACCAGACUAAUCGUAGCCGGACCUCACCACCUCCCAGCAGGCGUCGCCGUAGCCGCUCUCCCGACAACCAUCGAAAAGAUUCACGGCGCGACGAUGGUGGUCGGGACACUGACGGUCACCGUGAGCAGAACCGCAGACGCAGUCAAGAAGUAAACCAACACAGGGAUCUCCGGCACAACAUUCCUCCCAAAGAUGCCCGGGACCGCAUUAACAGGCGUGCCACAGAAAGAGCAGUCCACGAAAACCUGCGCCGUAUUGAGUACGAUGCACCACACGGCCCCCCGGGCCUAAGACAAUUCUUCUCACACCUCCGCCAGGUCGUGUGGCCCCGCAAUUUCAAGCUCGAAAAACUUAAAAAAUACGAUGGCAAGGAAAAUCCAGAGAACUGGAUCACUCUCUAUGAAAUCGCCGUCCGAUCAGCAGCGGGAGAUGAGCACGUCAUGGCCAACUACUUCCCCGUAGUCCUCGACCAGGCUGGUCAUCAGUGGCUCCUUGGCUUGCCCGAGGACUCCUUCGACUCUUGGGAAGAGCUACGCCAGGCUUUCAUCGACAACUUCAUCGCCACAUGCGAGCAGCCUGGAAACAAGUAUGACCUCGAAAGGAUAAGGGACAGGAAGAACGAACCUCUGCGCGACUACAUCCGACGAUUCUCGGAUAUGCGCCUUAAGAUCCCAAAGAUUUCCCACGACGAGGCCAUCUCUGCCUUCAUCAAGGGCCUGCGUUUCCAUGAAGCGCUGAGGAACAAGCUGUUGCGUAAACGGCCAACAACGGUGGCGGAGCUCCUCGCCACGGCCAAAAAUUACGCCGAUGCUGACGACGCAGAAAAACUAAUCCGAGACGAUGCGAGAGGUCCCGACCCGCCUCCCCGGCGAGACGACGGUCGCGGUCGCUACGACAACAGGAACCACCGCCGCCCCGACAACCGCGAUCACAGAGAAGGUUGGGAUCGGCGGCGCGACAACCGCGACGAUUUCAGAGGAAAGCGCCCCCACGACUACGACCACGAAGUAAAUACGGUCAAGCGCCCCAACGGGCGGCGGGACUACCAAGAAGACUACAACAAAACGUUGAAGGGACCGUGCUAACUACAUCCAAAGUCUAAUCAUACCAUGGAGGAAUGCCGCAUCCUCAAAAGCAUCUAUACACGGCGGGCCGCCCAAGACGACUCCGCUAAGAAAAACGGCAAGCGAGACGGGCACGACCACGAAGACGAGGAUGAGGACCAAGAUAGGGACCUCCGACACCAAUACGUCAGCCCCACUGACGUGGUCCACUCCAUCUUCGGGGGCAAGGUCUCCAUCGAAUCUAAGCGGGAAAGAAAGCUAUUGAAGAGAGCCUGCCUCAACAUAGACAGCACGGACGGGCUGAUCGCAGACCCGAAAUUUCCAACGUGGUCGCACAGAGAGAUCUCAUUCAGCAGGAAGGACCAGUGGGCCGCCAUCCCAGAGCCAGGUCGUUUCCCUCUGAUCCUGGACCCUUGCAUCAACAGCAUCAGAUUCGAGCGCGUGCUCGUGGACGGAGGAAGCUCCAUCGACAUCCUCUUCCGCAACAGCCUGCCCGCUCUCAAGAUAUCUCCGGCACAACUAAAACCUUACGAUGCCCAAUUCUGGGGGGUUUUGCCAGGUCAGAGUUCAGUGCCCCUCAGACAGAUAACAUUGCCUGUCCAAUUCGGCACACCCGAACACUUUCGGACGGAGUUCAUCAACUUCGUGGUCACGGACUUCGACGGGACCUACCACGCUAUACUGGGCCGACCAUCGCUGACAAAGUUCAUGGCAGUCCCGCACUACUCAUACCUGGUCCUUAAGAUGCCUACGGAGAAGGGUGUCCUAACCGUCAGAGGCAAUGUCUACACCGCGUAUACCUGCGAAGAAGAGAGCUUCAAGAUCACCGAAGCAAUCGACCUCUCAAUCCGCAUGGCAGAAACAGCAACCCAAGCCGCGCAGCUACCUCCCGACCAGCUCCGAUUGCCCGAACAAGAGACAGCCAGGAAGAAUUCAAAAUCCAAGGAGUACAAAGAAGUGCAGCUGGUCGACGGCAGCUCCGAGAAGACGGCCCUCAUCGGGGCCAAUCUGGAUCCAAAAUAGGAAGACGCGCUCGUCAGGUUUCUAAGGGACAACGUCAGCGUUUUCGCAUGGAAACCCGCAGACAUGCCCGGCGUCCCACGAAACCUGAUCGAGCACUCCUUAAACGUCUCGAAGACCGCAAGACCAAUCAAGCAAAAGCUGCGACGGUUCGCUCGUGACAAAAAGGAGGCUAUUAGGACAGAAAUAACACGGCUUCUAGCAGCCGGAUUCAUAAAAGAAGUGUAUCACCCCGAUUGGCUCGCCAAUCCGGUUCUUGUACGCAAAAAGAAUAAUGAAUGGAGAAUGUGCGUUGAUUACACAGAUCUCAAUAAACACUGUCCUAAAGAUCCUUUUGGUCUCCCUCGCAUCGACGAGGUGGUCGACUCAACGGCCGGAUGCGAACUCCUCUCUUUUCUAGACUGCUACUCUGGUUACCACCAGAUUUCGCUAAAGGAAGGCGAUCAGAUCAAAACAUCUUUCAUUACCCCUUUCGGCGCAUACUGCUACACGACCAUGUCAUUCGGACUCAAAAACGCUGGAGCCACUUAUCAACGGGCCAUCCAGCAGUGCCUCCACGACGAGAUUCGUGAUGACCUCGUCGAGGCCUAUGUAGACGACGUGGUCGUAAAAACAAGGGACGCGAGCACCCUAAUCGACAACUUAGACCGAACUUUCAAGGCGCUUAAUAGGUACAAGUGGAAGCUCAACCCCAAAAAGUGCAUCUUCGGUGUUCCUUCCGGUCUACUGCUCGGCAACGUUGUCAGUCGCGACGUCAUACGACCAAACCCUUCAAAAGUAAAAGCAGUACUCGACAUGCGACCACCCAAGAACGUCAAGGAUAUUCAGAAGCUUACCGGAUGUAUGGCCGCCCUCAGUUGCUUCAUCUCAAGGCUAGGAGAAAAAGGCCUCCCUUUCUUCAAACUCUUGAAAGCGUCGGAAAAAUUCUCUUGGACAGAAGAAGCCGACGCCGCGUUCACUCAGCUUAAGGCUUUCCUCACUUCACCACCUGUCCUUACAGCGCCUCCGCCCGAUGAAGACCUACUCCUUUACAUUGCUGCAACCGACAGGGUUGUUUCCACAGCAAUAGUGGUCGAGCGAGAUGAACCAGGUCAUGCCUAUAAAGUCCAGAGACCCGUUUACUUCAUAAGUGAAGUCUUAAACGAGUCCAAGGCCAGGUACCCACAAAUACAGAAGCUCAUAUACGCCAUUCUAAUAACAUCAAGAAAGCUGAAGCACUACUUCGACGGCCAUCGAGUCUUGGUAACCACCAGUUUCCCUCUCGGGGACAUUCUGCGCAAUAAAGACGCCAACGGCAGAAUCGUGAAAUGGGCGAUGGAAUUAUGCCCAUUUUCCCUAGAGUUCCAGAGCCGCACCACAGUCAAGUCUCAGGCCCUGGUCGAUUUCAUUGCUGAAUGGACGGAUCUCAACGAGCCUCCCGUUCCCGAUGUCUCCGACCACUGGUCAAUGUUCUUCGACGGAUCCUUAAACAUCAACGGUGCCGGCGCUGGGAUACUGUUCGUGUCACCUAACAAGGACAAACUGCGUUACGUCCUUAGGAUCCUAUUUCCAGCGUCAAACAAUGUCGCCGAAUACGAAGCAUGCCUGCACGGCAUAAGGCUCGCCGUUGAGCUGGGAGUCAAACGCCUUUAUGUCUAUGGCGACUCCGCUUUGGUUAUCAACCAGCUCAACAAGGAGUGGGACGCAACCCACGAGAAGAUGGAUCUCUACUGCAAAGAAAUUCGCAAAUGGGAAACCAACUUCUACGGCAUAGAGUACAUCCACGUGGUCCGAGAUAAGAACCAGGCAGCAGAUGCGUUGUCGAAGUUAGGGUCAUCUCGGGCCUAGAUCCCACGGGGUAUUUUCGUCCAGGACAUCCACGAGCCUAGCAUAGGCUCCACCCUGGUCGAAAAGCAACCUACCGAGGCAAUGCUCAUAGACGAUGCCACUCCGACAACCGGUGGUCGUGAUUGGCGUACACCGUUCAUCAAGUAUAUAUCGGACGGGACAGGCUUUCAGGACAAAACAGAGAACGAGCGCCUCAUUCGACGGUUAAAGAACUACAUCCUGGUCGACGGUAAACUCAUGCGAAAAAAUGCAAGCUCUGAAGUAUUGCUCAAGUGCAUAUCCCAGGAUGAUGGUACCAAGCUCCUAGAAGACAUACAUGCUGGAUCCUACGGCAAUCACACCGCAUCCAGAACGUUGGUCGGAAAAGCCUUCCAGGCAGGUUUUUAUUGGCCAACCGCGGUCAACGACGCAGAAAAACUGGUUCGACACUGCGAGGGAUGUCAGUUUUUCGCUAAGAGGACCCACGUACCCGCUCACGAAAUUCAAACCAUCCCGUCGUCCUGGCCCUUCGCUUGCUGGGGGCUUGACAUGAUCGGGCCAUUUAAACCAGCUCCCGGCAACUUCAAGUUUGUUUUCGUGUUAAUCGACAAGUUCUCCAAGUGGAUCGAAUACAUGCCUCUGGUCAAAGCAACCUCCGAGAAGGCUGUGGAGUUCCUCAAUCAAAUCAUACACAGAUUCGGCAUCCCGAACAGCAUAAUCACCGACCUGGGUACUCAGUUUACUGGCACCACAUUUUGGGACUUCUGCGAUGACAGGGGCAUAGUCAUAAAAUAUGUGUCAGUGACUCAUCCACGGGCCAAUAGUCAAGUUGAACGCGCAAACGGAAUGAUCAUUGACGCCCUAAAGAAAAGGCUGUACAACGAGAACGACAGAGCACCCGGUCGAUGGAUGAAAGAGUUACCUGCCGUGGUUUGGGGCCUCCGUACUCAGACCAGUCGAAACACAGGAGUAUCUCCCUACUUCAUGGUUUACGGCUCCGAGGCAGUCCUGCCGUCUGACAUAACCUUCGGAUCUCCUAGGAUUGAACACUUCGACCAGGCGACAGCCGACAACGCCAGAGAACUCGAAAUCAACUGCAUGGAGGAAAAGCGUUUGAAUUCUUGUCUCCGAACAGUAAAAUAUCUCACGGCAGUCAGGCGAUACCACAACAGGAACGUCAAGGACCGUUCCUUCGUGGUCGGCGACCUGGUACUUAGGUGGAGAACAAGCCAAGAGGGAAUGCACAAGCUCUCCACUCCCUGGGAAGGACCCUUCGUGGUCGCCGAAGUCACACGACCCACGUCCUACAGAUUGGCAUACCCAGACGGGACACGCGUGCCUAACUCUUGGCACAUAGACAAACUGCGACGAUUUUACCCAUAAGUUCUAAUAACUUUCGCUUGUAAAUAUCUUAUAAUUGUCAAUAUUAAAGUUUUCUAUUUUUUGCCUAUACUUUGUUGCACGCAGAACUCUUGGCAAACCUUCUGCAACGGAAGCUCUUAGCGACUACCAAGUCAAAUACGGUGACACGUCACUCAGAUAAUUAUACAGCGCUCAAAAUAACAGUCAUGACAAAGCAAACUUUAUUACAAACUUUAUAUACAAAGUUUACAAUAAAUAUCCUGACGGGCAGACGCUAGUCUAUUCCUACAGACUACCCUAUCGGCCUAACUGCUCGGGCUGAUCACCCGUUUGGCCCUGCUGCCCGGACGAAGGGGUCGGGCCCACCGGCGCCUUGCUGGUCGAGACCGCAGGCGUCGACCGCCCAUCUCCCGCAACAGACGCGCCCGACAGCUCCCUGGCCGACCUGUCUGAGCCUGGCUGGUCGGGGGGAGUGGCCGUUCCGCACAGAUUGAUGUCGCCGAUCACCAUCGACGACAAGUCCAGCAGACCACCCCGAAGCUCGUCCGCCUCCUGCGGGCCGACCUCCUUGGGGUACCCCUUCUCCAGCCUGGACAAGUCGACCAGGGGGUAAUGGGCGCGCACCAUGCUAAGGACAUGCGCACCAGCGAACUCCCCAGCGUCCUUCACAAAUUGCUGGAGCCAGUCCCACGCCCGUUGCGCCUUCUCCACCGGAGUCAACUUCGGCGCGCGGGGCUGGCUCUCCGGGAGCUCGGGACUGAUCAGAUCCAGGACCGGGGAUACUCCCUUCCAGAUCUUACAACAGUUGACCUUCCAGGAGUCCCAGUCCUUGACCAGCUCAUCCAGGUGCUUCUUGGCGUUCACCUUGAGCUCUGCAAGUCAAGCAGGACGUUAUCUUCGACAUAUCAAAAAACAAAGGGGGCGACAAGCGGCAGAUAACGAGGCGGUGCGUAUUACCAGAUAACUCCCGGUCCUUACGACCCAACUCCUCUCCUGCUCGACGCCCGGACUCCAGCGCACCAGCGAGCUCUUGGCUGAGCUGCUCCUUCUCCUAUCGGAGGCGCGUCACCUCCUCCUCCAGGUCUAAGUGAAUCAUAACCUGGUCAGCAAAGCGAACUACACAGCUACACGAAGGUGCUCGGAUCGCGUGACUAACCUUCUCGCUGACGGUACUGGUCGGCCAAGCGACGGGUAAGCUCGAGACAAUGCUCCUCUUGGGCAUUCAUCUCGGCCACUUUCUCCCCAACCUCCGAUCGCAGCCGGUCCACCUCCGCGGCUAGGGCCUUGUUCUCGGCCACAACGCCUUCUAUCUGGUCGAAGCACCGUUUCCGGUACUUCGCCGUUUUCAUCGCGCCCUACAAAACGAACAUAUGACAACCAAGCAAGACAACGUACAGAAUGUACAACAGUGCAAAGAACCGCUUACCUUGACUUCGUCGACGAGGCGUUUGGCCGCGCGCUCGACCCUGGCGGCCUCCUCGGUCUCGGCGAGCUCCUCAUGCCCGAUGAAGUGAUCCCCGCGUUGGCGCCACACAUACACGUGUUGGCGGCCAUCGCGGGGACGACCUUCAAUCUCCUCCACCUCAUCGUCGGAGGCCGCCUGGGUUUCCUCCUCACCCGUCGUUUUGCCCCCGGUAGCAGUCGAAGGCAUUACUGGCCCCCGGGCCAGACCCGGGGAGCCUGCAGUCGAAGCGUCCCCUGCUCGGGGCGGCGUGGGGACUUCGCUCUCCUCGGCAGGAGGAGGGGUCGGGGCUCUCCCCUCCCUUUCUGUGGAGUUCGCUGGGGGAGGUGCCCCUGUAGCCUCCUCAGCCCUGGCCGGGCUGCUCGCCGUGGUCGGUGCCGCGGCUGGGGGCUCCUCGGUGCUCACAGGCACGGCUGCAGCCGCAGGCUGCUCCGUGGUCUGCGGCGCCGCGUCUUCAGCAGCGCAGGCAGGCUCACCCGCCCCCUGGCCGGCGGCAUGGCCGGGGUUGACAUCCGACGCCGCGCUAAAAGAACAAAAGUACAAUAAAAAAAAAGCCAAAAUACGUAAGUCGAACACUUACAGGUCCGAUCGACGGUGGGUCGCGGUGAACCUCCUCCUCGUCCGGCCAGUCGGCACCUGCGCCCCCAUCUCGACAACGCGCGGAGCAGGAGGGUCGCUGGCCACCCGAUCAGUAGUGGCCGGCGCACUAUCUGGGCGGUUCCGAGGUCGUCGAACUAGCGACGGUGCGGCCUCCUCGUCGUUGUCGUCGUCGUCGUCAACGAUCCGCACGAGCCGACGGCGCUUCGGCGCUUGGCUGCUCUCCGCCGGCAACGUCGGUACCGGCAAAGGAUCUGCCGCCAGUGGCCUUUUCCCCGCCACCCUCUCCUCGGUGGUCGGGACGGGGCGGGCCUGGUCCUCCUCACUGCUGGUGUACCGAUCACACCGUGCAGCGUCCUCUAAAGGCGGAUCCUCCCUUGUGGGAUCCUCCAUCCCAGGCGCUAGUGACACAUACACUGUGCACCUAUCUACAUCUCCGAUCUACAAAGAGAAAUACAGACAAGUCAGCAUCCGACGAUAUAACGAAGGCUAAGGAGUCAGUCAGUAAAGGACAUUACCUUAGGGGCUGGUUGCCCCAGCUUGAAAGCUUGCACCCGAUCACUACCACGGAUGAAGCCCCCAUCAGUAAAGUUGAACAAUUCGUACAACAACUGCUGCACCUCUUCCUUCUCCAGGACCUCAGGCCUCAUCCUGGUCGGGUCCUGGCUUCCGGCGUACUCAUACGCCGAGUGCACCCUCUUCUGGCAGGGCAUCACUCGGCGGCAAACAAAGUUCCCGACCACCCCUAGCCCGUCCAAGCGCGACCAGUCGAUCAGCUUCAUCAGGUCUGCUACCUGUCGAUCGAAUUCUGGGCGGUCGGUCCAACUGACCCUCUUCUCGGGGAUGUACCCCAUGUCACAGAACGUGGAGCUGCCCGGCUCCUCCCUGACGUAGAACCAUUUCUUAUACCACUCGGUAAGAGAGGUAUUCCAAGGGCAGUUCAGGUACCGGUUCUUCAUCCCGUCCCGGAGAUUGAGGUAUACUCCACCUGCAAUCUUGGAGCCUCCAACUGCUCCCUUCUUCCUUAAACAGAAAAGAUAACGAAAGAGAUCCAAGUGCGGCUCUAUGCCCACAUAGGCCUCGCACAAAUGGAUAAAAGUGGAAAUGAGGAGAAUGGAGUUCGGGUGCAGAUUGCAAAUCCCGAUCUCAUAAUACAAAAGAAGACCUUGAAGAAAAGGAUGAACAGGAACCCCAAAUCCCCUCUUAAUGAAAUCUUCAAACACGACGAUCUCACCGGCGCGGGGGUCGGGGUAGCUCUCCCCCUCCGGUGCCCUCCAGCCGCCGAGCUCCGGGCUGUGCAGAAGCCCCAUAUCGACGAGGUCACCAAGAGAUUUGGUGGUGCUGCGGGAUUUCUUCCACUCCUUGGCCAUCAGUUCGGCCCUCUUCUUGGAGUCGAUCUUCGCCAUUGGAGGUGAGGAAGUGGACUUGAGUUAGGAAGAUGCCGGUGAUUGAAAGAGGCAAGAGUGGAAGGCUUGAAGGCAAUGGCAGGGUAAGCAGUAUAGGCGGAACUGUCGAGCUCUUAUAACCCGCAAAUCCACCUCUCCCACUUCCCGUAUUCUCGGGAAGUGGGCGGGCCGUGCGGCGGAUGUGGCGUUUCGGUUUUCAAUGAUUAUAGACGAUUAAUGCGGCGGAGUUUUCGUACCAAUUGAUGGUUUCCUUUUCUCAAACCAUGCAAAGGGUGGCUGCACAGUUGCCAGGCGCAACUUUUCAUGCAUCCAUCUGACAUCCCGUCAGGAGGCCUCGUCACGUCAACUUUAACUGGAAAGAUCUUUUCAAAAACAAGAAGACAAAUAUGGCAGAGAGUCAACAAUCCGGGGACUGUACCGACCACCGAGCACUUGAUGCUCGGGGACUGGUCGCCCAGUCUAUCGACUCAGAACUUCAAAGACUGUACCGACCACCGAGCACUUGAUGCUCGGGGACUGGUCGCCCAGUCUAUCGACUCGGAACUUCAAAGACUGUACCGACCACCGAGCACUUGAUGCUCGGGGACUGGUCGCCCAGUCUAUCGACUCAGAACUUCAAAGACUGUACCGACCAUCGAGCACUUGAUGCUCGGGGACUGGUCGUCUAGUCUAUCAGCUCGGAACUUCAAAAUAUCACACCAACCACUAAGCGCUUGAUGCUCGGGGACUGGUCGUCCAGCAUAGCAACGCAGGAUUCUAAGGAGCGCACUUGGUACUUGGGUCCUGAUGGUCAUACUAUUGUACACCAGGGGACUGGUCGAUCAGUCUGUUCAAUUGCAGACGGACUAGUAAAAUUAAUUUUUUAGACCUUGCUACAAGGCUCAUACUUCGUCUUCCAGCAAGCUCGGGGACUAUAUCGGUACGAUGCAUCUGGCGAUGCAUCUCAGUUGCAGAAUUUCUUUGAGGACUUUUCUUUUGACCCUGGCACCACGUACCUACGUCACCUACUACCAGGCUCGGGGACUAAGUGGGCACACUUCACCUUGCGGUGAAUAUGCUUGCUUUUUUGAGGUUUAUACUUUUCUUAAAAGUAAAGUGGGCACACUUCACCAGGAAAGAAUUUUUUUUAAAUUUAGAGCACCAUGCAUUCAUCGAACAACCAGCUUCUUCGAUGUCAACGUUGAUCAACUGUCUUUUGAGUUGGUCAAAGUACCGUUGCGACUGUUUGGGUGACUUUUUGUUUAUUGAAGACGUCAAGCCUCACUGAUCGAAGAAGCUCAAGAUGGCGUGUUACAUCACAAUACAUGGUGCUCGGGGACUAGCUGUGGGGGUAUAAACCCCUAUACCCUUACGGCUAGACUUGGGCCAGAAGGCUUGGCCCAUUACAAGACAAGCUCAAGGUUUGUUCCGACAGCUUGGAGUUUCGCGCAAGGAAACAAGACGUGGAGAUCAAGAAGGAUUCUAGUCGGUUAGAAUAGAAAUUGAUAUCAAACUAUCUAUGGCAAUUGUAACCGACUAGGAUUAGUUUCCAGAUCUGUAACCCUGUCCUCCGGGCUAUAUAAGGAGAGGCAAGGGACCCCCCUAGGACAUCAUAUUCUCUCAACACAAAUCAAUACGACCAGACGCAGGACGUAGAUAUUACGCCAACUCGGCGGCCGAACCUGGAUAAAAAGCUUGUCCGUGUCUUGCGUCACCAUCAAGUUCGUAGUUUGCGCACCGUCUACCGAUAAACUACUACCGUGGGUAUACCCCAAGGUAGACUGCCGACUAGCUUUCGUCGACACCGGCGCAGACUAGUUGGGGGCCAAAGGUGUAUGAGAUGGUGAAGGAUAUGGAUCACAUAGAGUUUGGCAAGAAGAAGAAGAAGGUACCAGAAGAAGAGGGGACAAAACAUACAAGGAAGAGAAAGCGGGACACGAAGGAGGACGCCGCACCGCUUGUCCCUUUCAAGAAGAAAUCGAUUUUCUUCAAGUACCUGUCAUACUGGAAAACCCUGAAAACACCCCAUGCCAUUGACUGCAUGCACCUCGAGAAAAACGUCUUUGAUAGCACCAUCGGUGUCCUAUUGGACAUCAAGAGCAAGAUGAAGGAUGGCCUCAAGUCACGGUUGGAUCUUGUGAACCAGGGCAUCAGGAAGGACCUUCACCCGGGUCCGACUCAUAACGGCAAAGUCGAUCUACCAGGUGCGUCUUACAACCUAAGGCAUGAUGAGAAGAUUGCUAUGCUCAAGUUGUUGAGGGGUAUCAAGGUGCCGACCGGUUUCUCUUCCAACAUCAAGAGUCUGGUGUCCAUGAAAGACCUCACACUAGCCGGCUACAACUCACAUGACUGUCACGUCAUGCUGACGGUGUUCCUUCCAAUCGUGAUUAGGGCUAUCGGUCCAGAAUACGUGAAGAUGGUGGUCACUCGGAUGUCAUACUUCUUCAACCGUAUCACCCAGAAGGUCAUCGGUAAGGCUGACCUGCCUGCCCUUAAGGAGUUCAUUGCAGAGACCCUCUGCCAGCUCGAGAUGUGCUUUCCCCCAUCUUACUUUGAUAUUAUGCCACACCUGAUGAUGCACAUGGUUGAUCAGAUCGAGCAACUUGGCCCCGUGUACCUACACCAGAUGUGGACGUACGAGCGGUUCAUGUCCACCCUCAGCAGAUACGUCCAUAACCGUGCUUACCCAGAAGGCUCUAUGAUCGAGGCAUACACAACUGAGGAGUCCGUGAACUGGUGCAUGAGGUACAUAAGAGAUGGGAGAGCGAUUGGGAUGCCUGUCCAUCAGCACGAGGGCAGAACCGCGGGGUUGGGGUGUACUGGACGCAAAGUACGCACCGAUAUACCAUAUAAAGAUGUGGAACAAGCUCAUUACAGUAUCCUUCAUCAGUUAGUGAGCAUGGAGAAGUACGUUGACAGACAUGUCGAAGAGAUCCGCGUCGCGCAUGAUGGACAACACACAGAGGAAUGGGUCCAGAAAGAGCACAAGAGCACUUUCCUAUCCUGGCUUAAAGAGCAACACAUACCCCUAGAAGGCUGCUCUGAUAAAGAUACAGACACCGUUAAGAAGCUUGUGCUAGGUCCGUCCAGCAGAGUCACCACGUGGCAAGGCUAUGACGUCAAAGGGUACCGGUUCCACACGAAAGAAAAGGACAAGAAGAGCGCCGCACAGAACAGCGGUGUUCGAUAUGAGGGUGUCGACGAGGCCACAAACUCGAGGACGCAAUACUAUGGGCAGGUCGAAGAAAUAUGGGAACUUGACUAUAGCAAAGACGUUCGCGUAACCGUCUUCCGAUGCCACUGGGUUAACCCAAAAACGGUUGUGGUGGACAAUUAUGGGCUAACCACCAUGAACCUCAAAAGUACCGGCUACAAAGAUGAUCAGUGGGUACUUGCAACCAAUGUCGCGCAAGUGGCCUACUAUAUCUAUCCGGAGGACACAAAGAGGCAUGUGGUUGUUUCAGGAAAGCAACGCAUCGUUGGAGCUGAUGGGGUACAGAGCCCAGAACAAUACAACAACUAUGAAGAGCUCGAGCUAUUUACCGAUCUACCAAAGAAGGUGAAGGCCAUCGAGGACCGUUGUAACAAGAGUGGAAUGAAGCCGUGGACCCGACAUGAUGGUGAGGUGCGGUCUGUGAAAGCACCUGCACCAAAAUGAGAGAACUAUUUAAGAUAAUGGGCAAUUAUUGUAAUACCUCUUUUUAAGACAAGUCUUAUAUUUAAUGAAGUAGUGGACAAUUAUACAUAGCACACACAUCUAUAUGUAAUGGAGUAGUAGUGGAUAAUUAUUGUUUAAUAUCUCUUUUUUAAUAUGUAAGUUUUGUAAUUCAGCUAUUUAUAAAUGUCAAUUUAUUAAUAUCCCUGUAGCUAUUUACAAUUUUAAAAUUAUCAAAAAAUUAUAUUAUAAAAGUAAAAAGCUUCUGUUCAGGGAAUAACCGCAGCGGGCGUCUUAACUUGCCCGCUGCGGUAAAUAUUAACCGCAGCGGGCGUCUUAAAGUGCCCGCUUCGGUUAAUAUUUACCACAGCGGGCAGGUUAAGACGCCCGCUGCGGUUAAUGUUAACCGAAGCGGGCACAUUAAGACGCCCGCUACGGUUAUUCCCACACUAUAAAAGCAGGCGGCCCUCUGCCCUAAAAUUAGUCGCGCGGUUCUUCCUCACCCGAAGGGCUGCCGAAUUUCGAACUCCCGCCUUCGCCGCCGCCGUCCCCGUCCACGCUCCAUCACCGUCACCCGCUCGAACUCGCCUGCUUCAUCCCCGUCCGCCGUCCGCCACCGCGGGACCUUCACCGGCGCUUCGUCACCGUCGGCCAUCCGCGGGACCUUCACCGGCGCCAUCCACCGUCCGCUGCACUUCGCCACCAGGUAUGCUCCCUCCUUUCUCUUCCCUUUCUUCCUUAGCGGAGCCGAGCACUUCCUCCCUAUUCCCUCCAUCGUUCAAAUCGACCCCACCCCCGCGGCGCGCGCCUCGGGUCCCCGUCUCCGCGGAUCUCCGGUGAGUCCUCUGUCACCCGCCAUCCGUGUAACGCAGCCGUGACCCUGCGGUAGGGGAAGGCUAAGGCCUUCACAACACCCUAUGAAGAAUACAAGUGAAGCAAAAAGAACCUCAGAAGCAAAUGUUUUUUGAAGUGUUUAUGUCUAUGUCCAGAUCUGCUUGGGUCUUUCAAGUUUAAUUGUAUACUAGAUAUGUGUAUUACAAUUAUAGAAUUCAUGUUUUAUGUUCUUAUUUUUUCAGUCUAUAACAAUUCCCUGAAUUUCAAUCAGCGCAAAAUGCUUUAUCUUAUAUGCUUGUAGGCAUCAAGCAGGUAGUGUCAAAUGCCAUGGUUUGUGUGGAGUGAUGCCUAAAUUUUCUCUCUCUUCUUUGCAUGUCGAGUGCAGUAACUUCUCAAUUUAUAUUAGACAUCCCAAAUCAUUGUUUCAAGUACUGGGAUGUUCAAUCUGCAAUGUGGCUUCUUGAUUUGAUUGAGUAGAUCUGUGGUCUCUAGUCAGACUUAUUUGUUUAGCUUAGCUCUAAAAUUUUAUAUUAUUCCAAGUUGUGUUCACGAGAACUCCAAAAUGUUCAAUCUGCAAUGUGGUUUCUGUUUGCAAGUGCCACAAAACUGAAAUCAUUUCGCCAGACCACAUCCAGUAGAACAAGUGCUAUGUUCCUAGGUAGACUAAAUGUGUAUGCUGCAACCGUGUAGGGUCACAAUUUUUGAAACAUUUUUAGGUUCACAACACGGAAGUCAUCAGAGUAUAUUUUGGUUCUUGUGUUUUACUUUGUAUUUGAUUCGUGUUCUCAAUGCAGCAUACACAUUUAGGUAGCAGCUGUUUUG
RNAcentral lists this long non-coding RNA (80795 nucleotides) under Sorghum bicolor (sorghum). Its description in RNAcentral is "long non-coding RNA (SBIC_LNC009612)". The stretch from base 22960 to 23032 matches the Rfam family "tRNA". The record is from RNAcentral. Lineage: Eukaryota; Viridiplantae; Streptophyta; Magnoliopsida; Poales; Poaceae.